This 59071-nucleotide long non-coding RNA is filed under the name Coffea arabica (coffee). RNAcentral's name for it is "long non-coding RNA (CARA_LNC003686)". Lineage: Eukaryota; Viridiplantae; Streptophyta; Magnoliopsida; Gentianales; Rubiaceae. The record is from RNAcentral.
AGGCAGAAAAGAGCAGAAGGAAAGAAAGGAAUCAGCAGGGAGUUGCUGUUGCCGCCGCCGCCGCCACCGGAACUUUCCACCACCACCUGCAAAUCAUCACCGAAAGAGCACUGUAAGCUCAAAUUUUCCUUUAAUUUCAGUUUUUCUUUAAGCUCAGAUUCUUGAAGCUCUUAAACACAUUUUUCUUGAAUUUGUCCUUUGCAAUUUUUCUGUUGAUUAUCCGCGAUUUUGUGAAUAUGCAUGCUUUGUGUGUUAAUUGGACUGAAAUCCCUUGUGUUUCUGAGAAAUUUAGAUAACUAUAAUGCAGAUGGAUAAUGAAAUCUGUGGUAUCUAUCACAUAUUUGACAAAAUGCUCAAACGAAGCCCAAAUGAAAAUUUAAACUAAGGGCAUGAAUCUCCUGAAUCUGCGCACAUGGCAAGGAGUUCCUAUUAGUCCAACGCUAAUCGUAGCCUGUGAGUGACCCCAGAAAACCAAGAGGACCGAGGGAAUUGAACUUAAGCGAUUUUUUUUCUGGAUUUUUUCUUUUUCAUUUCUGCUAUUUUCUGCAAUUUUUGUGAGGGUUUAGGGUGUGUAUGGCAUGUUUGUACGUGGAACUGUGAUGGUAUCCAGCUGAGCUAAGCGAACAGGAAGCUUAAACCUAAACUAAAAUGGCAAAAUGAAUGGAACGGUAAUUUGAUAUCAGGAACCAAGCUCGAUAAGGUUUAUAUUGAUAUAUGUGAUAAUGGAGAUUCAGAGGUUGAUGGAAAUAGGAAGAAGGUGAAAAAGAAGGAAAGAAACUUGGGAAAGGGGAAAGAGAAUUGGGAGUAAUGAUCCCAAAUCUUCCAGAUACAAAAUAUUCUUUUGUUGUCCUAUUACAAAGCAAAUCUCCUAUAUAAUCACUAGGCAAUGACAUGAAGACACAUGGCCAUCUCUUAGGAAAACGACAAUAGCCUCCUUCUUCACAUUGGUUGUGCUGAUUUCCAGAGAAGGCGUGAUCCUGCUCCCACGCCUUCUACCGUGACUUCUUCUUUUCCUUUCACAGCUACUUUAUUGGAAACCACACCUUCAGCUCAUUUCUUCGGCUUAAGUCCCUGCUCCAUGACAGUUGCUCCCCCUUCAAUCAAUCUCGUCCUCAAGAUUGAAAAACAGGAAACUCCCUUUCAAUUCCUUCUGCAUCCUCCCAUGUAGCUUCAGCUGGAGAAGUUCCCUAGCAUUGAAUGAGCCAUUGAACAGCUGUAGCAUUCUUUCCUUAACAAUCCUUUGAUCUAAGACAGCUACUGGCUCUACUCGGAAGUGCCCUUUCUCAUCUGUGUUUGGCAGUUGCAGCACUGGGACUAUCUGCUGUCCUACUUUCCUCUUCAGCAAGGAUACAUGGAACACAGGGAGUACCUUGGAUCCUUCUGCCAAUUUUAGUCUGUAGGCUACCUUCCCUAUCCUCUGCAUCACCUGGUAUGGGCCAAAGUACUGAUGUAUUAUAAUUUUGAUAGUGUUGCCAUUGUCUCAAGCAGUAAUUGUAAGAAUUCAUUGGCUGGCAGAAUUUGUGAGUGACCUAUUUUUUUUAUCCUUUUUUAUUACUCAAUUUCAUUUUAGAAUUUUGGGAGAAAAUUGGCGGAAUCACCUGCAAGGAGAAAGUGGGCUGCACAAGAUUCUGGAUAUUACAAUUUUUCUUUUGGCUUUUCUAUCUGGUUACAUCCUAGCAUGUUUCAUAUAUAACUUGUCUGUCUCUUUGAAUUGCAUAUAAACUGGUUAUGAAGUGCCUCAAUGCUUGGUCUAAUCUGACUUUAUGGUCCAUGAUUAUUCAUCUCCAAAUGUUACAUUAAAUUUUUUCUUUGCUACAGUUUUGAGCUAAAGUGUGACAUAUACGCUUUUAUACUUUAUUAUCAAUAUGGUAUAUUGGAACUUAUUUGUGUGAUGUGUCGUAACAUUGUGGAGUCAUUUGUAUCUUGGGAUGGGAAGAAAUCUAUAACUCCUCAAUCAAGUUAGAUUUUGGUCUUGUUGUCUUGGAUUACAGUAGUUGUACUUCCAUAUUUAUGUGAAUAGUUGAUAAAUAGACAAACUUGUCAGAUAGUAUGUCUUCUUGGAAUAUAGCUAUAUGUUGAUCUUGUAGAAUGUGAAAAGCUGUAUGUAUUUUAUGAAACCAGGGACCUAAUUUACUUUAUAAAUUCUUGUUUCCAAAGACUGGUACUGGUGCAUCUGGAAAUUCCCCAUAAAAAAUGUCAACGUUGAAGGAAAUCCUGACCCGUCGGCCAGUGGCAGCGACGAUCCGCUUAACAGUUCCAGCCGGGGGAGCUAGGCCGGCACCUCCAGUGGGGCCUGCGCUGGGUCAAUACAGGCUCAAUCUGAUGGCCUUCUGCAAGGAUUUCAAUGCCAGGACGCAAAAGUACAAGCCUGACACCCCCAUGGCCGUCGUCAUCACUGCCUUCAAGGACAACACCUUCGAGUUCACUGUUAGGUCGCCUUCGGUUACGUGGUACCUAAAGAAGGCGGCGGGGUUGGAGAAGGGGAGCGGGCGCCCCGGUCAUGUGACGGCUUCCUCCUUGACCUUGAAGCACGUGUACGAAAUUGCCAAGGUGAAGCAGCAGGACCCCUAUUGUCAGUAUAUGCCUCUGGAGUCCAUUUGUAAGUCUAUCAUUGGAACUGCUAAUUCCAUGGGGAUUAAAGUCCAGAAGGAGUUUGAUUAGAUUUUUUUUCUUUUUAUUUUUGGUUCUUUUUUGCUGCUGCUGUCUUAGUUUUGUGCCGUUCUGUUGCUGCUUCAUUGUUACCUUUUUUUUUUCUUCCGCUUUCUCUCCCUCUUUCCUUGUGUUUCUUCAACUACUGUGACUAUUUUUUUUCGGUGCAUUUAAGAAUUUGGUGGCUGAGAGAGUACUAUUGGCUGAAAUUAAGUACAGUACUGCCAAUAGUACCAUUUCCGCGGCAAUUUGGUUACGGUGGAUGGAGUGGAAUGUUAGAUUUUACUACUAUAAAAUUUUUCAUGCUCUUUGAUGGAAUGUUUUUAAUUAUUUAUUUUUUCUUUGGGAUGCUCGAGUCUUGAAAUGUCAAGUGCAAUUAUUAGUUUCCAAGUGUGCGUUGCAUUGCGUUGUGGGAGAUUUAAUUUGACGUUGCUUGUGUAAUACCAACCAAUGUAAUGCAGCUUUUGUAGGACUAUUAUUAUAUGGCACAAAUGAACAUUUGCUUGCUUAUAUUAUUAUUAACAAACACACAUCAUAAACUUUUUGUUUCCAAUUUGCAUCACCAAAAGACAGGUCCUAGACCCGUGUUUCAACAACCAAUCUAUUUUGGUAUUACAUGUCCACUAGGUUUUUUUUCUCUAUUACAUAUCUGUGGCGAAAUGCCUUUAUGCUACUAAUAACAAAUUUGGCCCCUUUGUUCAAUUUGGCUUCACAGAAUCUCCUCUCCGCCACCUCAUAAACAGGGUUCAUCAUUACUGGGAAAGUAAAGAAUAGGUUAGUGCACAAACCCAACUGAACAAGGCUGCUCGAUAGUCCCUGCCCAAAAUUGGUCGUGAUUAUAUAUCUUUGGUCUCUUCGUCGAAAACAAAAUACCCCAAAAUUCCAAAUCCUCCAUAAAUUAAGGAGAUGAAAGCCAUUGCCCAGCCUAGGAUUAUCCCAAAUUGUUGUUUCUCCUUCGUCAUUGACUCUAACGGCAAUACCAUUUCGAUCCCUUCAAAAGUAUAAACCGCCACCUAAGCCCAUAAAAAAACACAGUGAAUCUGCCGAAAGCUUCCACGGCAGGCCUGUUUCUAAGAAAAAUCAUAACAUCUUCGACCAUCACCACCCCAUGGCAUCGAUAUCAACUAAGUCAGCAAAUAUGCUCAAGAGGGCCAAAUGGGUUAGCGUGGGAUUUGAGUUCAACCCCAGUUGGAACGGAAAACAACUCCAUAUGUACACAGACUUGGGCACAAAAAUUCCCAAGAUCUUAGGGUUAGGGUUAGCGGGAGCGUAAUUGAAUAUAUAAGCUAAAGCAUUGGCUAUAAAUAUCAAGUAACUUGUGCAAAAACCAGCUUGAGAAAGAACAAUCAUAGCAUCGAUGGCAAACCUGCCGACAAGACCACACACAACAAAUCCAAGAUCACCAAAAGAUGAUCUUUGGAGACUUAAGACUGGAUUCAAGUCUUCUCUGCGUGUGGACUAAGAGCAUCAUACAAUGGUGUUAUGGCAUUGAAUCGAAAAUUGCAGCAAAAGUGACAGAUUACUUGCAGCAGAAGUGAACUAUCUCUUAACAAAUUGAAUGGAACAGGAAAUGGAGAUGAAUAUUUGAACUUUCAACUUCUCAUUAAUAAUUGGUAAAUGUCAAUUACAGAAUCUGAAUCAACGGAUUUAGAAUGAAGGGGAAAGAUUGAAGGAAAUAAAGGGAAAAGAGAGGAGGGAGUUGGCAGAGCCAAAUUCCCUUUACAACCAAUUGGAAAAAUAUGACAAAAGCUUAGCUAUCUCUAGGAUUCUUUCAGCCUUUUAUGGCCAUUUCCGGACUAACUAACUUCUAAACAAGCCAAUAAGGUGAGGUCACGUGGAAUUCUAGAACCAUCAGCUCCACUUGCUCAUAACAGAAGCAUAAUUCUGUUUUGCCAGGUAGAAGGCGUGGUUUUUCAAGUCACGCCUUCUCUUUCCUCAAGUUGAUCGAUCGCGCCUUCAAUGCAAUUUGGAACACGCCUUCUUCCUUCUUCAAGCUGGAUCACGCCUUCCUUGAAAUCUGGAACACGCCUCCCGUUUUUUUUUCUUCUCACUCCAUGACAAAGCUUCCCCCUUUAAAAAUCUUGUCCUCAAGACUGGAAUUGAGGGAACUGCUUCCUAAUUUCUUCUGCAAAUUCCCAUGUUGCUUCUGCUGGAUCCGUUCCCCACCAAUGUAUCAGCCAUUGCACUGCAGCUGCAUUCUUUCUCUUGACUGUUCUUCGGUCCAGCACUGCAACUGGUUCGACCCUUAAGUGCCCCCUCCCAUCCACUUCUGGUAACUGCAAGACAGGUGUGGUCUGGUCCCCAACCUUCUUCUUCAGUAGAGAGACAUGGAAUUCAGGGUGUAUCUUGGAAUCUGUGGGCAAUUUCAGCCUAUAUGCAACCUCCCCAACCUUCCCUAUCACUUCAUAAGGGCCAUAGUAACGUGCUGAUAACUUAGUGUUGCUUCUCCAAGCUACUGAACCUUGCCUGUAAGGUUGUAAUCUCAGGUAUACCCAGUUCCCAAUAUCAAACCUUCUUUCACUCCUUCUUUUGUCAGCAUAUUUUUUCAUCCUCUCCUGAGCCUGCUUCAGGUUCUGUUUCAGUAUGAUGUCAGCUUUGUGCCUCUCCUUCAAGUAGUCCCCAACAACAGCUACCUUAGCCUUAGUAUAUGGCCCCAUACCCAAUUGGGGAGGUGCCUGUCCAUAUAGAGCUUCAAAGGGGGUCAUUUGGAUGGCUGUGUGGUAGCUGGUGUUGUACCACCAUUCUGCCAUGGUCAACCAAUGAUUCCAUUUCUUUGGUUCUAAAUGUGAAAAGCAUCUGAGGUACAUUUCCAGUACCUGAUUGACCCUCUCAGUUUGGCCAUCAGAUUGUAGAUGGUAGGCUGUACUGUGGUCCAGUGUAGCUCCCAGCAGUGUAAACAUUUCACCCCAGAAUUGACUGGUGAAGACCCUGUCCCUGUCUGACAGAAUGCUCUGGGGUAUUCCAUGUAGCUUGACCACUCCAUCUAGGAAAAUCCUGGCAAUCUUUGGGGCAUCAUAAGGGUGUGAGGUGCUCAGAAAAUGGGCAUACUUUGUGUACCUAUCCACCACUACCAUGAUGGUGUCUCUCCCUUCAGAGUUAGGCAAUCCCUCAAUGAAGUCCAUGGUGAUAUGGCUCCAGGGGGACUGUGGAAUUGGCAGGGGUUGUAGGAGCCCUGGAUAGGACACAUGUUCAUCCUUGCACUUCCUACAGACAUCACAUUCCAAGAUUGCUGCCUUAAUGUCUCUGUGCAUGCCUGGCCAGUAAAACAACUGUUUGGCUCUCAUGAAACUUGCCUGGAUACCUGAAUGCCCUCCCAAUUAGGAGUCAUGUAUGGUGCUGAUCAGCUUUUUCCUUAUCUCUCCCCCAGAUCCCACGGCUACCCUCCCCUUAAAUUUCAGUAUACCAUUCUGAUAGCUAAGGUUGGAAAUCAAGUCUGGUUUCAGUAAAAUUUCUCUAAUGCUAUUCUGUGCCCAGUCAUCUCCUUGGUAGCUACUAAUCACCUCUUUGAUCCAUUCUGAAACUAUGGUAGUUAUUGCAGUGCAUUCCAAGGCUGGAUUCCCUCUCCUGGAGAGUCCGUCUGCCACUACGUUCUCCUUGCCUUUCUUGUAGUGGAUCUCAUAACUCAUCCCCAUGAGCUUGGUCAACCAUUUCUGCUGCAGGGGGUGGUGAUCCUUUGUUCCAAAAGGUACUUUAAGCUCUGAUGAUCAGUGUUGAUGAUGAAGUGCUGGCCCUCUAGGUAGUGCCUCCAUUUGGAGACUGCUGUAACAAGUGCCAAUAGCUCCUUCUCAUAGAUAGAUAGCCCCAUGUUCUUAGGCCCCAAGCCCUGACUGAUGUAGGCUAAUGGUCUCCUGUUCUGCAUUAGUACUGCCCCUAUUCCAUUGUAACAAGCAUCAGUUUCAAUCACAAAGGGUAGAUUGAAGUCAGGUAGGGCCAGCACAGGUGUGUCACACAUGGCUCCUUUUAGCUUCUGAAACGCCUCCUCAGCUUCUGUUCCCUAUUGGAAGAUGUCCUUCUUCAGUAGUGCAAUCAAUGGCCUAGCUAUACUGCCAUAGCCCUUAACAAAUCUCCUGUAAUACCCAGUUAAGCCUAGGAAUCCCCUCAACUGUUUUACAUUUUCUGGUCUAGGCCACUUCAUCAUACCCUCAAUCUUCUUAGGAUCAGCUUUCACUCCUUCAGCUGAUAUGAUGUGUCCCAGGUACUCCACCUGUGUCUGAGCAAAGGCACAUUUGCUCCUUUUGGCAUACAAUUGGUGUUCUCUGAGGAUACUCAGAACCUCUGUGACAUGCUCCAGAUGCUCCUGUAAGCUUGAGCUGUAUAUCAGGAUGUCAUCGAAGAAUACCAGCACAAACUUCCUUAGUUGCUUCUGGAAUACAUGGUUCAUCAACCCCUGGAAGGUAGCAGGGGCAUUGGUGAGCCCAAAUUGCAUCACCUUGAACUCAUAGAGCCCUUGAUGAGUUCUAAAUGCAGUUUUGUGAAUAUCUUCUGCCUUUACUCUGAUCUGGAAGUAUCCUGACCUUAAAUCUAUCUUGGUAAAGUAUUUGGACCCAGUCAAUUCAUCCAAAAGUUCAUCAAUAAGGGGUAUUGGGUAUCUGUUCUUGACUGUCAACUUGUUCAAUUGCGUAUAAUCAACACAAAAUCUCCAAGUGUCAUCCUUCUUUUUUACCAGCAGUACAGGGGAUGCAUAGGGACUGUUACUGAGCUGAAUGAUACCAGUUCCUAGCAUUUCCUGCACCAGUCUCUCAACUUUAGUCUUCUGAAUAUAGGGACAUCUGUACAACCUGAUCCGGAAAGGUUUGGCCCCCUCCUUAAGGGUAAUGGAGUGAUCAUGGCUUCUCUCAGGGGGCAGCCCCUGGGGUUCCAUGAAUACUUCCUCAAAAUCCUGUAAUACCUUCUCUAUCUCUGGGGGUAUGUUAACACUAUCUUGUACCUUCUCUUUGACUGCUCUUAGUUGUGCCAUGAUUCCAUAGGCUUGUUUCCUAGCCCAUUUGUGCAGUCUGCUUCCUUUGAUCAACCUUAGCUACACCUGAUCCCUCUCCCCCUUCAGUUCCACCUGCUGUUUCCCUUUCCUGAACUUCACACUUAGUCCCUUGAAAUCAAAUUCCAUGGGACUGAAUCUAGCAAGCCAAUCUACUCCCAGCACCAUAUCACACCCCCCUAACUUUAGUGUGUUAAACUGGUGCUGGAAUUCAUAGCCUUGCAUCUUCCAUACUACAGGCUUAGUUAAGCUGUUGGACUGUACUUUUUCCCCAUUAGCUACCUUAACAACUAGGGAUGGUCCACUACUAUCCAGUUUCAGGUCUCUAGCCAGCUAUUCAUCCAGGAAACAGUGAGUGCUGCCACUGUCAAUCAGUGCAGUGAUAGUUCUCCCUUUUACUAACCCCUUUAGUCUAAUAGUUUUGUGCUCACUGCCCCCUGCUAAAGCAUUGAUGGAAACUUCUAUAUGUUCAUCCCCAAUUCUGCCCUCAAUGCAAUCGCAGAAAACUUCAGAUUCAGCCUUUUUCUCACUCUCAAUAGCUACAGGGUCCUCACUGUCAUCAUGUACUAGCAGAAGAUGGAUAUGGGAUUGCCUACAUAUGUGGCCCAAGUGUGUAUGGCUCAGCACAUUUAUAACAUAGGCCUUUCUCCCUCCUGAGAUUGAACUCACUAGGGGUGAUCUUUUUGAACUGGUUUGUGUUGCUGUUUGGGGUCCUGUAGUUGUCUGUGGGAGGUUUAUCUGAGGUUCUGGAUGUGGUGGGGUUCCAUUUGUUAUGGCUCUAGGGGUGGAAAGGGGUUUUGUGUGUCUGGGAACUGCAAGGUAGGGGUUUGUGAAACUUUUGCAUAGCUUUCAGGUUCUUUUCUUGUAGCUUGGCUGCUUCUACUGUAUCCGCUAGAGUUAGAGGCUUGGCCAUUUUAACCAUAUUGACUAUUUCCUCAUUUAAGCCACUUAGGAAGCAUGCUUUGUAGUAGGAAUCAGCCAAAUGAGGAAGGGAAGGCAUUACCAGUGCUUUGAGCAGCUCGAACUUCUCCAGGUAGUCUGCUAUGGAUCCCUCUUGCCUAAGCCUGUUGAAUUCUUCAAUAGCUUCCUCUGGAGUGCCCUCCCCAAAUCUUUUACACAAAGCAGUAGCCAAUUCAGUCCAUGGAAUGAUUCCCCUGCCACUGAAUACCCCAUGGAACCAGGUAUCUGCUCUAUCCCUCAGGUACAGUUCAGCAAUCUCAGAUUUCAUGUUCUCCUCCACUCCAUUGAUCUUGAAGAACUUGUUAGCCUUGCGGAUCCAUUCCCUUGGAUUAUCUCCUGUGAAGUUAGGCAACUCCACUUUAGGCAUUCUGGUGUAGGAUCUAGUUUCUUUCCAAUCUGAUCUGCCAUAGCCUUCCUCCUGUGUUUCUUCCUUCUUGGGUCCUUCAAUGGAGCUACUACUCUCUGCCUCCUUGUCCUUGUCAUUGAAUCUUGCCAUCAUCUGAGCCAUCAUAGCCAUCAUACUUUCAUAUUUUUGGUCGAGAUUUUUAAGAGUUCUCUCUGUACUUUCUUGUCUAUGCCCCAGAACUUUGACCACACUGCCUAGCUCAGAGAGAUCCUUCUUUAACACCUCCUCUUGAGAUUUUGUCAUCCCAAUGGCUCGUAGCUAAGCUCUGGUACCACUGUUAUGGUAUUGAAUUGAAAAUUGCAGCAAAAGUGACAGAUUACUUGCAGCAGAAGUGAACUAUCUCUUAACAAAUUGAAUGGAACAGGAAAUGGAGAUGAAUAUUUGAACUUUCAACUUCUCAUUAAUAAUUGGUAAAUGUCAAUUACAAAAUCUGAAUCAACGGAUUUAGAAUGAAGAGGAAAGAUUGAAGGAAAUAAAGGGAAAAGAGAGGAGGGAGUUGGCAGAGCCAAAUUCCCUUUACAACCAAUUGGAAAAAUAUGACAAAAGCUUAGCUACCUCUAGGACUCUUUCAGCCUUUUAUGGCCAUUUCAGGACUAACUAACUUCCAAACAAGCCAAUAAGGUGAGGUCACGUGGAAUUCUAGAACCAUCAGCUCCACUUGCUCAUAACAGAAGCAUAAUUCUGUUGUGCCAGGUAGAAGGCGUGGUUUUUCAAGUCACGCCUUCUCUUUCCUCAAGUUGAUCGAUCGCGCCUUCAAUGCAAUCUGGAACACGCCUUCUUCCUUCUUCAAGCUGGAUCACACCUUCCUUGAAAUCUGGAACACGCCUCCUAUUUUUUUUUUCUUCUCACUCCAUGACAAAUGGUCGGUGAGCAAGGCUACCGAGGAGAGCAGAAGGACGCCCAUCGCCCACCCUGUUCUCUUGAAUGUGUAGGGUAGGCCAAGGACGCCUGCUCCUACUAUAGCUAUGAAGACUUAGGGGAACAACUUUUGUCUCUAUCCUCGAUUUUGAAAAGCAAUGUUCGUUAUUUGUAAUUCUUUUAUGUUCAAGUACUUAUUUCUUCUUUGUUAAAUUCUUUUGCAAUUGAUUACUGUUUCUCACUUGUUGAAAUAGUUUGAGAUUGCUUACAUGCUUUCUAGUUUCUUUCAAUCUGUAAUUGUUGUUAGGAAUUAGAACAAGAAUCAAAGUAAAUUAAUUUGAUUGUCCACCCUUUCAAAUUAAUUUACUAUGGAGAAAACAAGAGAAGUUAAAUUAUUUAAUCUUUUGAAUGGUUGCUUGGAUUAAAUUCAUAUUCUCUAUUUUAAUGCUAUUAUUGAGUGAAAGAGAAUUGCUUUUUAUAUUGAAUUCACUUGAUAAUAAAGAUUUGAUUGGAAGAUUUUUCUAGUUAAUUUUACUAUUGAAUGUCUUGGUUUUUGUUAACUUUAAGGAUAAUCUAAUUUUUUGCUUGAAUUGAAAGGAUGAAUUUCGCACUUCAAUAAUAAAAAAAGUCUAUGGAGUGAAUGUUUAACCUUUGAACCGAGUUAUUUUAAAUUGAUUAGUUUCUUUAAUUUUCUUGAAUUUAAUUUUCGUGUAAAAAGAUGCUUGAAUUAAAAGUAUGCAAAACAACUCAAAUAAGUAAAGUGUUAAAUAACCAUGGGUCAUAUCUACAAAUGUUGUUCUUCGCAUCAAAAGACUUUUCCACUAUUUGAUUAAAAUAAAUAUGAAUAAUUCCCUCUUAGUAUUGGAAUUUGAGAAAAAGAUUAUUGUAGGAAUCGGAAAAACCUAUGAAUUGACUAUAUGAGUUGUUUGUUUGUGAAAUUCAAUUAAGGUGAGAGAUUAAAUUUAACUUAUUAAAAUUAGGGUAUAAUUGUCUCUCUUUUACUUGAUAUUAUGAGUAUACAAGGCAAAUUGAAUGAUUUCAUAAUGAUGACUUGCUAAGUUACGAAGGGUUGAAUUUUAAAGUUCCACAUGAUUUAUUUCAAUACUUAAAUCAUCGUUGAUUGGUAUUUCCUAUUGUUUGAGAACAAGUAAUGAUUUAAAUGUAGGGGAAUUUGCUAUGUAUAUUAUUUAUACUAAUUUAAGUAAAUACUCAAGAAUUAAGUAAAAGCAAUACACUACGAAUUAUACUAAUUUAAGCAAGUAAACUGACAAUGGAGAAUUUAGGAGAUGAAUAUCCCAGGGUUACGAAUCUCUUGUUGCUCAAGAGAGAAUAAGGGUGAAAAUCCGGGUGAUUCUCAUGUAUUAGGUCGUGUUUUCUCCCCAGAAAAUUGCACUUGUUCAUUACUUGUCAUUUCCAAGCCAUCUUCGAAUCCGUCAAAUGUUUUGCUUGAAUUCUACUUAAUCUAAAUUGACCAUAAAUCACCAAAAUCCUACAAAUGCAACAAGUUUGCAUAUUAGACUACUAAAAUUCAAGUUUUUGUUAUAAAAAUAGGACUUGUGGAAAUAGUAGCUAAUAGGAGCAAACUUCAUCCUUAAAAACCCUAAAACACACUAAUAAAGCAAGUUUAAAAUGCCGUAGUAAUUAACCAAUUUCUUGUGAAAUUGAUACUAAUUAUCACUAUACUCGUUUGACUCAUAUACUUGUAGAAAAUCGAGGUAAUUGAGCUUAACUAAAUUGGUAAUUGAGAAUUUAUAACUUGGAAACGUGUUAGGUGGUUAAUUGUGCGCUUAAUUUAUGAAUUUUUUUCCCUUGAUUUGGCUAAAAUAUGGUGUUGAUUGCUAGAUUCUACUCAUAUUUAAUUUUUGGUGUUGUCUCUAGGAAUUUGUUGUGAAAAGAGGAUAAAAAAUACAUUAAAGGUCGAAUUUUCAAAAGAUAAUACAUUAGAAGGCAUAACCACGUCUUAACUUCUUGUGAAAUCCAUGCUUACGGGAUUGAAGUGGGCCACCGUUUGAAGCUUUGCUGGUGCAUUGGAAGGCCGUUGGUGUCUUUAGAAACAUAUAAUUUAUUGUUUCUAUCUAGUAGUAUUAGUUGAAUAGGAAUCUUAAUCCUUUCCUUAUUGGAUGUUGGAAAAAACGUAGGUAAUAAGAACUCCAAUUAGUUUUGGGACUCUAGGGGAUCAAGAUUAGGAACGCAAGAAACGAUUCAUGAGCUUUUUCCAUUAUUCCUCUUCCUCUCUUUCUGUCUGAUAAAUCCUAGUAUUUCUUGUGGCCACAAAUCGACCAUGAGGAGUAACUGAACCUUUUCUCUAGUUGAAGGAUAAUUGAAGCUUUGGUUCAACAAUAUUGUGAGAUCUAAUUUGAUUUAUUUGUUUCAUUUAUUUAUAAGUAUUUAUAUAUUUCCUAUUCAUUCAUGAUUAUGAUUAUUUUAUACAAUUAAAUAACUGGCCACUAUUUAAUUGUCGGAAUAAUCUAUUGCCAUCUAAAAUAUCAAAUCCGUAAUUGUUUGGUGGUUUUAGUAUUUGUGGCGAGUAAUGUAAUCUGAUUGUAGUAAAAACUUUCGAAUUUUAUGUUACGAGAAUAUAUAAUCUAGCUUAAAUAAACCAAGCUUGUGUGUUUGUUGGUUAGAAUUAGUAGCUUCUUUAAUUAUCAAUGCUUCAGUAGGUUAAAUCCUAAGAGCUUAUUUAGAAUUGCUUAGUUGACAAGGGAAAUAAUCACAGAACUUGUUGCAGUUAUCGAAAGAGUAAAGAGAGACAUGUUAUCAGAGCACGUUGACAAUCAUAACCAGUUUAUUUAUAAAUAAUUGAUUUUUCCUUUGUAUCGAUGAUUAGUUGAAUGAACCAAAGUGGAUAUUAGACCUUUCACUAGAGAGUUGUCUUUUCUUAGUUUAGUUUUAUUUAAUUUUGUGCUAUUGUUUUUAUUUUUAUUCAAGUGAGUUAUUGAGAUAAAUUCUCUAUAAUCCCCCAUUUUAUUUAUUGUCAUUUUUAUAAGAAAAAUAAAUCACCGAGUUCCUAAGGAUACAACCCUAUUCACCACUACACUCGCAUUCAUAUUUUUAGAAUAGAAUUUUAUUUUUGCUUGUUUGACACCCAACAAAGCCUAAGCCACAUCAACCACUCCAAUUUUUGGCUCCGCUAAUCCAGAUUCAACAACCGACCAAUACUCCUUGGACCUUAAGAAGUUCUCCAUUAAAAUGCUCCAAUGAUUAUAAUGACCAUCAAAGUGGGAAUUGCUAGGUGCACAAAGUUGUCAGUGGCCAUUGUGAUUUACCAUUGCUUUGUUAAAAUUAUCACAACUCACUGUUUGGUUUCACUCAUCAACCUAGCUCUGUUGCCACUGAUACAAGUAUUGAGGAAGAAAAGAUAAAAUAAGAGGAACAAAGAACUGAACUUUAUUACUUCUUCAAAUCUGAUACAACACUCAUAACAUGAAGCUACACCAUUUAAGCUUCACCAUUUAUAGAGCUAAAACAAACAAAAAAAAAAGCUUGAAUCUAGGAAGUGUAGCCACUAACUAUUGAUAAAGUGCUCACACAUGGAGCAGACUCCACUAAACUAGGUAAAAUCAAAUCAAACUAAAAUAGAUUCCUAUUGACAUGGUCAACUAAAAUUAAGUAAAUAUCUCUAACACAAAGAGUUCAUUUACAAAGAUAUAAUCGUUAUUGAGAUCCUAAAUCAUUUCUAGACUUGUUGCAUUUUUUUGACUAGAAUUUGUUCGGCUUUUGAACAUAUAGGUUCUUAGUUGUAGGCAAUAACAAUUCAAAGUUGAAUAGAGAAAAUGAAGAAAAUGAAAUCCAAGUUAGUCAAGAAAUAAGAAUUUUUUUUAUUUUUACUUGAUUAGUACAAUAUCAAUUUCAACUAAAAGAGUCAGUUCAACUCAAAUGAAGAUGCAUUCUGAUACGCCAGUUGAUGCAUGACUUUAUGAUUAAAGACUUGGACUCGGGUCAAAAUGUACAAACAACAACUUAUUAGUAUUUCCAAGAAUCACAUAGCAGUUAGUACUGUGCAAAAUUUCACUUACCACCCUUGAACUAUAUACAAAUUUUUACUUUGAUCCUUAAUUUUUUAAAAAUGGGACAUUUUAGUAUCUAAAGUAUAAAACAUUCCAAUAAAUGGAUUUAUUUGCCAUUGUUUUCAUUUGUUCAAACAAUAUUUGUUAAGUAAGAUAGGUUUCUCUAGUAGGCAUCAAAAUUUUGUUAUCCUCCACUAUUUCUCCUGUUGCACUUACUUUUUUGUUCUUAAUAAAUAGGCAGGGGAAUGUAUAUCUACAAGAAAAUUGAAGAAAAUGUAUUCCAAAUCAGUUAAGAAAUUUUUACAAGGUGUUGGACUUCGUAAUGGACUGAUUAUUACGAUGUCAUAUUUAGCUCUACAUGUUUUAAAAGGCUAAAAAUCACAAGAAGAAAGAAAGGUCAAACACUGAUUAAAAUGUGAAAGAGUCAACACUAAUAACUUGAAGCAUGACUUCAUGAUCGAGCACUUUGUCCUCAAUUGUCCUGUGUGAAUUUUAAAUGCUAUGUGAAUUUCUAAUUAUUUAAAUGCCACAUUUUAGAUAUAUUCAACUACCAAAUAAUGAUAUACCUUAUAUUAAGGUUGUUCAUGCAUAAUCGAAGUAAAGAAAUACGUUUAUUCGACCAAAUCACAAAAAAAAGGAAAGUUUUAAAAAACAAUCAACAGAGAAUAGUUGAUUUGAUUUUAAAAAUGGAGAGAGUGGUAUAAACAGUUGUCUAUGAAUGACGUAAUACUUUUUCGAACAGAUUAUAUUCAUCACAAAUCAUUUGUACAACUUUAUAACAGUCGUAUUAUAAUCUGCUAUUGCUCACGUGAGAUUGUAUGAGAGUCACGUCAGUUAUGUAUCAUAAUUUAGGCCAUACAUUUUCACAAAAUUUGUACUGAUGGCUGAAUCCGGAUUGUAGAUAGUUGGAUAUGGUUGCUCUUGUGAAGUGACACUUGUUAAUUAUGCAAUUCUACCGCCAUGGUCUAUGAAAUAUACAUACUUUAAGCUAUGGAAGUCAUGAAUAUUACAACUUUUACUUGGCAAAUGAUGUUGCCACGGUCCAAAUUUUAUAUCCACAGUAAUUUUGAUUAAAAUGACAAGAAGUACCUAGUCAAGUCCUGUUAGGGCGGUUAUUUAUAUUUAAUCCUUUGAUGAAAACCAUCACCUAUGUAACCCAAGAUCUUAUGGUGAUUAUUAAGAAAUAAAUUAACGAUAAAAUUAUGGAAGCGUACCUGGAUUCAUAUCGACAAACUGGUAUAUGAAUCUCCAAGGGUAUUCGGGUGACCUUCUAGGUCAACACGGAUUCGCCGAUUCUUGAGAGAGCAUUUUAGUAUCUUUCUGGUAUCUCUCCUGACGAUGGGAUAUCAGGAAAGAACUAUAUUUUGUAGUACUAGAAAAUACGAUAAAUAGAAUGAUACGUGUGAUUUGGGGACCAUAACCCUAUUUAUAGGUAACAUUCCUGUUACCUUUUGAAACUCUAUUUUAACUCAUUAUAGAAAUAGGAACUCUUAAAUCUCUACACAUUAAAGGCACACAUUCUAUUAGAUACAUUAAAUUCAAACCAUAUUUGAUCACUUUAAUUGGACUUAACCUUAUUUGACAGUUUGCAAUCCAUAAUUAUUCACAUAUAAGUCCAAAGUUGGAUUAAGGAUCCAACAAUCUCCCACAUUGACUAUAUUGUAACCUUAUAAUUAUGUUCGCAAUUAACCAAAUAAGCUCAACUUUACUGUCAUUGCUAAAAUGUAUCUGUAACCAAUUCGGUUCAUCAAUCACACCAAUAUAGGAUCAAAGCAGCCUUUGUUACAAUUUCGUAACUUGAUCGAUCAAUGGUCACAUAUAUCGAUACAAUUGAAUGACAUGAAUCAUGAUGUGGAUGUGUAGCAUGAAAAUUUCAUGUAAUGUGAUCAAAACAAACCUAUUUCCAACUGAUCUACCUUAAAUUUUAUGAAAUCAAACCAUACCAAAGUCAGAGUGUAAAUAAAUCCAAACUUUAUUUAUGCAUAUAAUAUCCUUAAAUCAUUAAUAAUCGAAAAGUAUCAUAAGAGCAUUUAAAAUAUCAAACUCCCACUAAAACUGUACAUCAUUUAACAACAUGACACUCAUAUAAGCAGUAUGCUUAUGAAACAUUUUGGAUGGCAAUCUCUUAGUAAGCGGAUCCGCAACCAUGGAGUUUGUUCCGAUAUGCUCUAUCAAUAACUGUCAACUCUGUACUCUUUCUUUAACAGCCAGAAACUUGAUAUCUAUAUGUUUAGAUUUCGUCAAGCUCCUAUUAUUAUUGAAAUAUAGGACUGCUGAUUUAUUGUCACAAAAUAAUUUGAAUGGUCUUUCAAUACUAUCCACUACACAUAAUUCUGUGACGAAAUUUCACAGCCAAAUUCCUUGAUUGGAUGCCUCAUAACAAACUAUAAACUCUGCAGCCAUAGUAGAAGAUGCUAUGAGGGACUGUUUAACACUCUUUCAGGAUAUGCCACCUCCAACCAACAAGUAGAUAUAGCUUGAUGUUGAUUUCAUAGUAUCUUGGCGUCCAACAUAAUCGAAAUCAGUAUACCCAAUGAUCUCUAACUCAUUUGACUUCGAAUAUGUGAGUAUGUAAUCUUUUAUUUUCUGUAAAUACCAUAAGACCAGUCUGGUUACUUUCUAAUGAUCUAAUCUAGAAUUGCUUAAAUAUUUACCCAAUAUUCAGUAAUAUAUACUGUGAAAAUCCGUAAAUUUUCGUAUUUUCUAGGGUUUUAUUUUAUUUAAUCCCACGUUUUUCUGUAAUUUCUUUAUUCAAAAAUUUUCUAACUCGUUUUAUGAGUAAAUAGGGUUUUUAAAAUAUUUUUCUAAUAUAAUUGAGUUCAUGAGAUUUUUGGAGCGUAUACCGGGCGUGGGACCCGCUAGUGCGGAAAAUUCGGCCAACUAGGUUAAGUUUAGUAUACCGGGUUUAUUUUAUCAGGUGCUAAGAGAUAAGUAGAGGUUUCCAAAUGGAUUGGUGUGAGAGAGACAAAAGGAUAAGUAUGCAUUAAUAAGGGUGACAAGUGUCACCUUGUGAUGGAAUCUUAAGUUUUGACCACUAUUCAUAACUUUACCAUUUAAUCAAAAUUGGCCAAAAAUCAUCUUCAUUCUUUCCCCUCUUGGCCGAAUUACUCUAGGGAGAAAAGGAAAAAAAUCUUCAACUUUCUUCAUCUCAAAUCUUGCUCAAUCAUCCAAUCUAACCGUUUAAACUUGAGUUUCCUCCAUAAAACCCCUUAGUUUAGUGGUAUUAAGGUUGGUAGUGAAGUGGUUUGGAAGGCUAAGGUACCAAGUUGCUUCUUUUCUUGGGUUUGCAAGGUAAGUGACCAAGGAACCUUUCCUUUAAUCUUGUUAAUGUUCAAUUGAUGGCUUAUGAGAGUUAAAUAGAUGGUUUUAGGUGUUGUUUCAUGCCUUGUGAUGGAAAUUGGUGAAUUUUCAUAUUUAUUCAUGAUUUUCUAUUUUCAUAUGAUUAAUAUUGUGUGGGCAUGGAUGAUGGUCUAGUAUGGGUUAGAAUGAAGCUUUGGUAUGAUAAUUGUAACGAUUAGUGGAAAAUUUCUGGUUUGAAGCAAAAAUUUCCAGAAUUAGGGUUUCUAUUAGGCCUGUUCUGCCCGGUACUGUUAACCCUAGUUAGAGGCCGAAUUGUCCUUAGCACAAAACAUGAAAGUUGUAGAGGAUGAUAUUUUAUAGUUUUCUACAAAAUUUUAGCUCAAUCGGAGCAACAUAGCCUUGAAAAGACCGAAAUACCCCUGCUACCCUGUUUCUAUCCGAACAUGCUAAUUAGCUUCUGUAAUUGGUUGUUGUGACCAAGAAUACUACUGAUUUGGUUGUUAAUGUCUUCUUAAUACUUAAAGCCUUGUAUCUUAGCUUUCAAAUGGCUUUGGAAUCACUUGAAUUGGAGUUGUAUAUGCUGAGAUAUGACUGAAUGAAUCAGGACUGCCACAGUAAACUUCGAAUUGGAAAAUCUGGAGUUGUUUUGGUAAAUUUGACCUAGUUAUGGUGAAAACUGGACUAAAGGGUCUCGUGAAAGUUAUAGCUCUCUGUCUUAGCUUCGAAAUUGUGUAAAUUGCACCCCAAUCCUAUAAGUGUAGCUUCAGUUGUGUCCGUUCCGCUAAAUGACGUCAAAACUGUCUUUUGGUUCUAGGGUUUAUAAUUGGGACUUUUUUAGGGUUUCUUUGUUGAGCUACCAUUUGGUUGUUUUGAAGGGUAUUGUGACUCUAAUUAAAGGUGUUUGAUAAAUUGUGAUUGGGUAUUGAGGUUUGGUUGGAAAAUAAAGAAAGACAAGGGAAAUGCUGUCAAAAUUUUCGUGGAGCUUCUGCACAGUCUCGGAAAAUUUGCUAUAUCUUGAUGUACGAAUGUCGGAAUUGAGUUCCGUUUAUUGCGUUUUAAACUAAAUUCAUAGGGCUAUAAACCGUGUAAAUUUUGGACCUUGUUUAUGUCUGUACCAUUUAUGGUGAUUUUUCAAAGUUGACUGAAAUAUUAUACCUGUUCUGUCUUUCACUGGAUAAAGCAGCAAUUUGAAUCUUGAAUUUGACUAACUUGCGCUCUGAAUCUUAUGAGGAUGUUUUCUGGAAAGUUAUAGCCCUUUGAAUGUAUUUUCUAACGGUUUAACUUUUAUUAAUUUUGGACUUACAAAACUUGAGAUAUGAUUUUUUAUAUAGGGUUGCGCGAAACUGAAAAAUCCUAUUUUUCUAGUAUCGACUUUACUUUCAUUUUCUACUUCAAAUUUGGAGUUGGUCAGUCAGCUUCGAGGUUGUUCAUGCCUUUAAGACUAAUUGUUACCUUUUCACUCCGAGGUCACCUCUUUGCUUUGCAUUAAUGGCUCUUUUGACUAGGCAUAUGGCUCGUAACCGAAUCUCACUUGCGAAUUUCAUACUAGGUCUUGGAGUCGAGUCUUAAGUGUUUGCCUUAAUUGUUUGCCUUAAUUGUUCUAGGAGGUGCCGAUGAUUAAAGCUACACUUGGGAAGGAAACUUUUGAAGUUAUCCUUAUUUGAACUGGUGAGUGUACCAUUCCCUUGCAUUGUUGCUAUUUGAGUUAUCUGUACUUGAAAUCUAUGACAUGAAUGACUAUGAAUCCUGUUUAGUUGAUUGAGACGAGGGUGUACUUUAUCACACUCGUUCUCUUGCCUGUGUUGUACCAACUGAAAUCUAUUACUUGUACUUGUUAUGAACUUGAGCCUGUUACUUGCACUUGUUAUAAUGUCGUUUGGAAGUGUGUCCAACGACCUCCUUGUUAAACCUGAGCUCAACCUCAUGGGGAGUUAAUUUAAUCGAGCCAUGCAAGGGCUUGGUUGAGAAAAUUGACAAUCCGUGGAUGCCUGUUUUUAUGGAAUCUUUGAGUAUUGAGACUCUUGAUUCCGAUAUACUCGAGUAUUAUCAUUCCUAUUCCUGUUUGGCGUUCGGGUCCGGUAAGGGGUAUAUUUGGUGAACGAGGUUUUUUCGUUAAAGUGGUGUUCUACUGGACUGGUUUCUUUAUUGAACGUUGACGGAGGGUCAACGAGACUGGAUCAAGUAUAGCAACGGGAAUUUGGCUCCUGAGAGCCACCUGUAUCCUUUACAUUGUGAUGUUCGUUCAUUUCUCGUAUUUGAUGUGAAUAUGUGCCUCCAAAGUGCUUUCUCAUGAAUUCUACUGAUUCUACUGUUUAUACUGUUGGUACCUCAUUGAGAUUUUAGCUCAACCCGUUCCGUUAUCCUUGUUUUCCUUACAGGAAACCACCUUUUGGAGACUCUGAUAUUUUGAAGCAUGAGUUGAGCUAGUUUUAGUAUUCUUUUGUAUAGCUCUUCGAUGGUUGGAAAACCUUAAAUGUAUUUUAACUAAACAAUUCCCUUUUGAAUUGUAAAUUUGCAACCAUGUGUAUAUAAAAGUGUUUAACCAUGUUCCUAAAUUGAUUGGGUUUGGAAAUGUUCUUUUCUAAGGUUAUCUAAAGUUGUUGUGCUUGUUUGGGUUUCGGAUAGUGAAUGUUAUCUUCUCGAAGUUCUUUUGAACGGUUGAUAGGGUUUACGCUCGUUCCGGAUCCGUAAUCCCGGCGAGAGCUGAGCAGGCGGUCCGCCGAACUCUUUGGUUCGCCUUAGGGGGAGGUGGGGCUGUCACAGUUGGUAUCAGAGUUAGGUUCGCGUGGUCUCUGCGCGGAGUGAGGUUGGGCCAAGUGGUGUUAUGGUCCCGAUUCCGUAAAUGUGUACGAAUGUUUAAGUGCUCUUUUGAGCAUAAGUUUUGGAUCGUGAAAUGUUAUAGGUUUUAAACCUUUAUCAUGGUACUUGGAGACAAUAGAUCUGUAGGUCAGGUAAGAAUCUCAAUUGUAGAUGAAUUACUUUUGGGACUGGCCAGCCCGAGUUGUAAAUUAUCUUAUUUUGGGAUUCUUGUACCCGACUACUAAAUAGACAAGAGCCUAGGUUAGAAAUGACUUGGGCGGACUAGAAAUUUGAUUUUAUGGAACGUCAUGUGAUGUGUUAGGGUUUCAUUACGGAUGAUUAACCUUGUCUAAGAUAUAAAUUGUAUUAUUCUCGUAGAUCGUGCCUGGAACCCUAGAAAGGGAUAACUUUUAGUUGGUUGGUCUUGUACCAUUGGUCUAGUGUGUAAUAUUCAUGAUGGUUCCUUUUGCUUGUAUCUAAUUGAUUGCUAUUGUGUGAUCUGUCUGUGUUAGAUGUGUUAUAUGUAUAUUGCCAACUUUUAUCACUUGCAUCUGCAUACUUUGGUUUUAAUACCGUAUUUGUGGUCCAACUCUAGACUGGUUAAGCCAUAUGAAAGGCACCCGUAGUAGACAUGGUCGUGGUCGUGAAAUUAGGCAACCCACAACUGAAGGUGAUACAAGGGGAACCACGUCUGAACCAAACCCUGAAUCCAGAAUUGAUCCGAACGUACAAGUGGCCGCAGCCAUUCAACGAAUGACUGACCUUUUGGCAUACGUAGUAGAAUAUCAAGGUCAAAAUCCUAUUCAUCAGCCGGAAAAUCCUGGUAAUCAUAUCGAGAGUGAGGAUAAAAUUCUUGAACGAUUUCAGAAGUUCUCGCCACCGAAAUUCCUGGGAGAACCAGACCCUGACGUGGCCGAGAGGUGGUUAGAGAAGAUAAUUGAUAUAUUUGUCACGUUACAUUAUACUGAGGAGCUACAGGUCACAUUUGUUGUCUUCCAACUAGAGGGAGCAGCCUGUUCUUGGUGGAAUAUCAUAAGACUGAAAUGGGAAAGAGAACAAACCCCAAGGACGUGGGUGAAUUUCAUAAGAGAGUUCAACACGAAAUAUUUUCCACCCCUGAUCCAGGAAAAGAAAGAAGAUGAGUUUAUUAGACUCCGUCAGGGAACUCAAACCGUCGCCGAAUAUGAGAGUCAGUUCACCAGAUUGUCCAAGUUCGCUCCCGAACUAAUCGUGACUGAGCAAAGGAGGAUAAGGCGUUUUGUCCAAGGAUUAAACGUUGAAAUCCAGAAAGACCUGGCUGUAGCCCAACUUAAUACCUUUAGUGAUGCGGUAAAGAAAACUCAACGAGUUGAAAGCGCAAGAUUUCAAGUCAGAAACUUUCAAGCUAAGAAAAGGAAAUUUUCUGGAAGUACCUCAGAGCAAGAGGAUGAGGGUACGCCUCCUAAAAUUGGAAGGGAAAACGGGGGAGUACAAUUACCGAGAAUGUCAAGUGGUACCUCACAGAGAGGCUCAAUCUCCGUUUCUCGUGGUCCCUGCGGGUACUGUGGGAAGUCGAAUCACUCGGAGAACGUCUGCUGAAAGAAAGAAAGAAAAUGCCUACGUUGUGGGAGCGCGGACCAUCAAAUCGCAAAUUAUCCAGACCGAUCUCGAGAAGGGAGUAGGAUCCAACAACCAACCACCACCAAUCCUGACCAGUCGAAGGGGGAAAAGAAUGGAUCAAAAGUGUCAGUUGGGGUGUAUUCCUUAGAAUAACAUCAAGUUUCUAACCCAUUUGAGGACGUGGAAGGUAAGAUUCUAGUAUCUCACCGUUUGCCCGCUAGAAUGGUGUAUAAGAAUUGCAAUUUGGCAAGGAAGAAGAAACUAUACCAAAGAAUUCAAUGAAUCAGGUUAGUGAAGGGGUACAGAUUGGUUAGUUAAGGAUGCUACUCAAUUUGACUGUGAGAUAGAUGUAGUAAAAUUUUUGUAUCCCGAAGAAAAUGAUGAUAAGGAAUUUCGAGGACGAAAUUCUUUUAAGGGGAAGAGAGUGUAAGAACCCGUAAAUUUUCGUAUUUUCUAGGGUUUUAUUUUAUUUAAUCGCACGUUUUUCUGUAAUUUCUUUAUUAGAAAAUUUUCUAACUCGUUUUAUGAGUAAAUAGGGUUUUUAAAAUAUUUUUCUAGUAUAAUUGAGUUCAUGAGAUUUUUGAAGCGUAUACCGGGCGUGGGACCCGCUAGUGCGGUAAAUUCUGUCAACUGGGUUAAGUUUAGUAUAUCGGAUUUAUUUUAUCAGGUGUUAAGAGAUAAGUAAAGGUUCUCAAAUGGAUUGGUGUGAGAGAGACAAAAAGAUAAGUAUGCAUUAAUAAGGGUGACAAGUGUCACCUUAUGAUGGAAUCUUAAGUUUUGACCACUAUUCAUAACUUUACCAUUUAAUCAAAAUUAGCCAAAAAUCAUCUUCAUUCUUUCCCCUCUUGGCCGAAUUACUCUAGGGAGAAAAGGAAAAAAAUUUUCAACUUUCUUCAUCUUAAAUCUUGCUCAAUCAUCCAAUCUAACCGUUUAAACUUGAGUUUCCUCCAUAAAACCCCUUAGUUUAGUGGUAUUAAGGUUAGUAGUGAAGUGGUUUGGAAGGCUAAGGUACCAAGUUGCUUCUUUUCUUGGGUUUGCAAGGUAAAUGACCAAGGAACCUUUCCUUUAAUCUUGUUAAUGUUCAAUUGAUGGCUUAUGAGAGUUAAAUAGAUGGUUUUAGGUGUUGUUUCAUGCCUUGUGGUGGAAAUUGGUGAAUUUUCAUAUUUAUUCAUGAUUUUCUGUUUUCAUAUGAUUAAUAUUGUGUGGCAUGGAUGAUGGUCUAGUAUGGAUUAGAAUGAAGCUUUGGUAUGAUAAUUGUAAUGAUUAGUGGAAAAUUUCUGGUUUGAAGCAAAAAUUUCCAGAAUUAGGGUUUCUAUUAGGCCUGUUUUGCCCGGUACUGUUACCCCUAGUUAGAGGCCGAAUUGGCCUUAGCACAAAACAUAAAAGUUGUAGAGGAUGAUGUUUUAUAGUUUUCUACAAAUCUCAGCUCAAUCGAAGUAACAUAGCCUAUGAAAAGACCGAAAUACCCCUGCUGCCCUGUUUCUAUCCGAACAUGCUAAUUAGCUUCUGUAAUUGGUUGUUGUGACCCGGAAUACUACUGAUUUGGUUAUUGAUGUCUUCUUAAGACUUAAAGCCUUGUAUCUUAGCUUUCAAAUGGCUUUGGAAUCACUUGAAUUGGAGUUGUAUAUGCUGAGAUAUGACUGAAUGAAUCAGGACUGCUACAGUAAACUUUGAAUUGGAAAAUCUGGAGUUGUUUGGGUAAAUUUGACCUAGUUAUGGUGAAAACUGGACUGAGUGGUCUCAUGAAAGUUAUAGCUCUCUGUCUUAGCUUUGAAACGGUAUAAAUUGCACCCCAAUCCGGUAAGUGUAGCUCCAGUUGUGUCCGUUCCGCUAAAUGACGUCAAAACUGUCUUUUGGUUCUAGGGUUUAUAAUUGGGACUUUUCUAGGGUUUCUUUGUUGAGCUAUCAUUUGGUUGUUUUGAAGGAUAUUGUGGUUCUAAUUAAAAGUGUUUGAUAAAUUGUGAUUGGGUAUUGAGGUUUGGUUGGAAAGUAAAGAAAGACAAGGAAAAUGCUGUCAAAAUUUUCGCGGAGCUUCUGCACAGUCUCGGGAAAUUUGCUAUAUCUUGAUGUACGAAUGUCGGAAUUGAGUUCCGUUUAUUGCGUUUUAAACUAAAUUCAUAGGGCUAUAAACCGUGUAAAUUUUGGACCAUGUUUAUGUCUGUACCAUUUAUGGUGAUUUUUCAAAGUUGACUGAAAUAUUGUACAUGUUCUGUCUUUCACUGGAUAAAGCUGCAAUUUGAAACUUGAAUUUGACUGACUUGCGUUUUGAAUCUUAUGAGGAUGUUUUCUGAAAAGUUAUAGCCCUUUGAAUGUAUUUUCCAAUAGUAUACUUUUAUUAAUUUUGGACUUACAAAACUUGAGAUAUGAUUUUUCAUAUAGGAUUGCGCGAAAUUGGAAAAUCCUGUUUUCCUAGUAUCGACUUUACUUUCAUUUUCUACUUCAAAUUUGGAGUUGGUCAGUCAGCUUUGAGGUUGUUCAUGCCUUUAAGGCUAAUUGUUAUUUUUUCACUCCGAGGUCACCUCUUUGCUUUGUAUUAAUGGCUCUUUUGACUAGGCAUAUGGCUCGUAAUCGAAUCUCACUUGCGAAUUUCAUACUAGGUCUUGGAGUCGAAUCUUAAGUGUUUGCCUUCAUUGUUCUAGGAGGUGCCAACGAUUAAAGCCACACUUAGGAAGGAAACUUUUGAAAUGAUCCUUAUUUGAACUGGUGAGUAUACCACUCCCUUGCAUUGUUGCUCUUUAAGUUAUCUGUACUUAAAAUCUAUGACAUGAAUGACUAUGAAUCCUGUUUAGUUGAUUGAGAUGAGGGUGUACUUUAUCACACUCGUUCUCUUGCCUGUGUUGUACCAACUGAAAUCUAUUACUUGUACUUGUUAUGAACUUGAGCCUGUUAUUUACACUUGUUAUAAUGUCGUUUGGAAGUGUGUCCAACGACCUCCUUGUUAAACCUGAGUUCAACCUCAUGGGGAGUUAAUUAAAUCAAGCCAUGCAAGGGCUUGGUCGAGGAAAUUGACAAUCUGUGGGUGCCUGUUUUUUUGGAAUCUUUGAGUAUUGAGACUCUUGAUUCCGAUAUACUCGAGUAUUACCAUUCAUGUUCCUGUUUGGCGUUUGGGUCCAGUAAGGGGUAUGUUUGGUGAACGGGGUUUUGGCGUUAAAGUGGUGUUCUACUAGAUUGGUUUCUUUAUUGAACGUUGACGGAGGGUCAACGAGACUGGAUCAAGUAUAGCAACGGGGAUUUGGCUCCUGAGAGCCACCUGUAUCCUUUACAUUGUGAUGUUAAUUCAUUUCUCGUAUUUUAUGUGAAUAUGUGCCUCCAAAGUGCUUUCUCAUAAAUUCUACUGAUUCUACUGUUUAUACUGUUGGUACCUCAUUGACAUUUUAGCUCACCCCGUUCCGUUAUUCUUGUUUUCCUUACAGGAAACUACCUUUUGGAGACUCUGAUAUUUUGAAGCAUGAGUUGAGUUAGUUUUAGUAUUUUUUUGUAUAACUCCUCAGUGGUUGGAAUAUCUUAAAUGUAUUUUAACUAAACAAUUCCCUUUUGAAUUGUAAAUUUGCAACCAUGUGUAUAUAAAAGUGUUUAACCAUGUUCCUAAGUUUAUUGGAUUUGGAAAUGUUCUUUUCUAAGGUUAUCUAAAGUUGUUGUGCUUGUUUGGGUUUCGGAUAGUGAAUAUUAUCUUCUCGAAAUUCUUUUGAGCGGUUGAUAGGAUUUACGCUCGUUCCGGAUCUGUAGUUCCUGCAAGAGUUGGGCAGGCGGUCCGCCGAAUCCUUUGGUUCCCCUUAGGGGGAGGUGGGGCUGUCACAUAGCAAUAUCUGGACGCGUACAUAUUUGAGCAUAUAUUAGACUCCCUACUGUUGACGUAUAAGGAAUCUUUUGCAUGUCUUUUUUCUCAAAAGUAUUCUUAGGACAUUGCUCAAGAUUAAAUUUGUCUCCUUCAACCACGGGAAUGUCACCUGAUUUACAAUUUUGCAUGCCAUACCUUUUAAAAAUCUUUUCAAUAUAGCCUUUUUGUGAUAGAUCUAAAAUAUCCCGAGAUCGACCCCGGUGUGUUUGUAUGCCUAACACAAAAGAUGCAUCACUAAGAUCUUUCAUUUCAAAAUUCUUAGUCAGAAAUUUCUUGAUUUCAUGUAAUAGACCAAUAUCGUUGCUGGCAAACAAAAUGUCAUCAACGUAAAACACCAGAAAAAUAUAUUUGCUCUCACAGAACUUAUGGUAUAUCAAUCAUCUACCAAAUUCAUCUAAAAAUCAAAUGAGAUGAUCAUUUAAUGAAAUUUGAAAUACCAUUGUCGAGACGCUUGUUUGAAUCCAUAGAUGAAUUUUUUAAAUUUGUAAAUCAUAUUUUUUGGAUCUCAUGAUACAAUAUUUUUUGGUUGCAACAUAUAAAUUGUCUCAUCAAUAUUACCAUUAAAAAACGCUGUCUUUACAUUCAUCUGAUGUAACUUAAAAUCGAAAUGCGCCACUAAUGCCAUGAUAAAUUUAAAAGAGUCCUUUGAAGAGACCAGAGAGAAAGUUUCUUUAUAGUCGAUACCUUCUUUUUGUGUAAGUCCCUUAACGACAAGACGAACUUUGUAUCUUUUCACAUUGCCUUUCGAAUCCCUUUUGAUCUUAAAUAUCCAUUUACAACUAAUGGGUUUCGUUCCUUCUGGCAAUGGGACAAGAUCCCAAACAUCAUUGUCUUUCAUGGAUUUAAUCUCCUCAUUCAUGGCAUUGAUUCACUUUUGAGAAUUUGAACUUUCCAUGGUUUGACGGAAGUUGAUUGGAUAAUUUUCCAUUAAUCCAAAGUCAUCCUCAUGUUCUUGGAGAAAAUUAAUAUAAUCAUCUGGCACUACACUUCUCCUUUCUCUAGUGAAUCUUCUUAAUGACACUGGUUCUUGGAGAGGAAGAGUUUGUUCUUUUAUAACAUUUUAUUUUUCGACAUUGUUUUGAUUUGUCAUGUCAUGAUCAAAUUCGAGAAUAGGAUCCUGAACAAGAUCAAUGAUACCUGUGGGAAUAUUAAUAUAUUUCUUUUUAAAAACAAUGCCCUUUACUGUAUUUUCUCUCCCAAACUCGACAUCCUCAAAGAAUUUGGCAUUUCCUAUCUCAAAAAUUGAUUUAGUUGUGAAAUUAUAAAACUUGUAGCCUCUAAAUCUUUCAGAAUAUCCAAUAAAAUAACAACUAUUCGUUCUUGAGUCCAAUUUCUUUUCAUUUGGCCUAUAAGGUCUUGCCUCAAUUGGACAUCCCUAAAUAUGUAAAUGCUUUAAACUGGAUUUUUUCGUUAUCCAAAACUCAUAAGGGGUUUUGAUAGUUGCUUGAGUUAAAACUCUAUUAAAGAUAUAUACUACAGUCUUAAGUGUUUCUCCCCAGAGUAAUUCUAGUAAGGUAGAAUGACAUAUCAUACUCCUUACCAUAUUUUUAAGCAUUCUAUUUCGUCUUUCAGUCACACCAUUUAUAGUAGGUGAACCCGGCAUAGUGUAUUGUAGGACGAUACCGCAUUCCUCCAGGUAUUUAGCAAAUGGUCCUGGACGUUGUUCACCGGAACCGUCAUAUCUACUAUAGUACUCACCACUACGGUCAGAUCUAACGUUUUGAAUUUUUUGUUGAGUUGAUUCUCAACUUCAGCCUUAAAAUUUUUGAACAUGUCUAGUGACUGUGACUUUUCUGAAAUGGGAUAUAUGUAGCCAUAUCUUGAAAAUCAUUUAUGAACGUUAUAAAAUAUUAUUGACAAUUCCAAACAGAUGUUGAAAAUGAUCCACAAAUAUCUAUAUGUAUAAGUUCUAAGACGUCUAAGGAUCUAUUGGUUUCAAAUUUCUUUUUAUUGGUUUGUUUUCCCUUUAUACAAUUGAUACAAUUAUCAAGAUCUAUAAAAUUUAAGGGGUCGAGAAUUUCAUUUGACACAAGCCUUUCUAUUUCCGUUUGGAAAUAUGUCCCAAUCUCUUGUAUCAUAAUGCAGCUAAAUUCUCAUUGAUUAAUUUUCUCUUUACUCCUCUAGUACUCAAAUGCAGAGAUUCAUUAAAUGAGACAAUUCUAUCAAUUAAAUAUAGAUUAUCGUAGUGCAUUAAAGAACCAGAACCAACAAAUUUUGAAUCAUGAAACAAUUCAAAUUUUUCAUUUUCAAAUGAACAAAAAUAAUCAAAUUUGUCCAAAAACAGAAACAGAAAUUAAAUUCCGUUGAAAAGACGAUACAACAAAUGUUUCAUUAAGAUCUAAAUAAAAUCUGAUCUUUAAUAAUAAUCUAAAAACUUCAAUUGUCUCCACUUGAACUAUUUUGCUAUCGCCUAUGUAGAUAUGUCGUUCAUUAUUAUUAGAUUUUCGGCAAUUCAGGCAAUCCUGCAUAGACACACCGAUAUGAGUUGUUGCACCAGAAUCUAACUACUAUGUGUGUCUAGGUACCGAAGUUAAAUUAACCUCAGAACAAACCAAAUUAAGAAGCAUACUUUUCUUAGCAUGCCAAGCAUGAUAGUUGGUACAAUGCUUCAUUUUAUGCCCUUCAGCUCCACAGAAAAAAACCAACUAUUCUUUUUCUGAUCAUCUGAUUUUUUUUGUUGUUUCUUUUGUGGUGCUGUACGUGCAGAUCCUUUUUCUUUCUUUCUCUUAAGUCCCUUACUUUUAUUAUUAGUGGUUGAUAUCAGAUGAGCACUUUCUGUCUGAUCUUGUUUCAACCUUUUCUCUUCCUCUACACAGUAUGAGAUAAAUUCAUUUAUAAACCAAGUCUCCUUUUAACAGUUGUAACUCACCUUAAACUGGCUAAACUGUGUAGGAAGAGAUAUUAAAAUCAAAUGCACUAGUAACUCUUCAGAGAGUGUCAAUUUAAGUGCAUUUAAUUUUGAAACAAGAUGAGACAUUUUCAUAAUGUACUCUCUGAUAUUGCCUUUACUACUAUAUUUCAUUGAAAUUAGGCGUGUCAAGAACGUACUGAUUUCAAUCUUUUUGUUCUUAACAAACCUUUUUUCAAUGUCCUAAAGGAAAUCUUUAGCGGUUACUUUUGUUUCUGACAUUGUUCCUCUGAAUACUUUUGGAACGGCCUUCUUAAUGAUCAUCAGACACAAAUGAUUUGAUCUUUUUCACCUUUUCUUAUCCCUCUUUUCAUCAGAGGUACUCUGAUCUGUAAGAGGUGGGGGAGGAUCAUCCCUUAACGCAAGGUUGAGAUCUAUUAUUCCAAAUACUAUUAAAAGAUUUUCUUUCUAGAACUUAAAGUUUGUACCAUUCAACAUAGGAAUAUUAUUGAUGUUAGUAGUAAUAUUCGUAAGAUCAUUUGUAACUGAACAGAAAACAUAAUAUAAUUAAAACAAACUCACAUAAACCAAAAUAAUAAGAAAUUCAAAUAAUGGUAGUCCCAUCUCAAGAUACCGAUACUCUAUUAAUAUUUUGUCUUUGGACAAAAAUAUUAACUUCUAAAUGAUAUCUUGGUGCAGUAAUAAAUACUGAUAAUAAUAAUAUGUCAAAAAAUAAAUUUUUCUUUGGGCCAAUUUAUAAUUUAUAUGUAAAAAUCGAAUAAUUACAUGUUUAUUGCCACAAGUGCACAUGUAACUUUAUUAAAUAUUGAUCUUCCUUUGGGCCGAUCAAUAUUCAUAAAAUCACAAGUACUCAACUAGAUAUAUUUUAAAAUAAAUUAAUUUUCACAAUAGAGAUCACUUUGGUGGUAUAUUAUUUCAAUUAAUUUAUUCCAAAAUACAUAUAAUCAUACCAUUAUUCAAUUUUAAAAUUAUACAAAUUAAACAAAAAUUUUGAUCAAAGUCAACUUUGGUCAACUCUGGUCAAACCUAGUCAAUCCAGUCAAAUCUGGUUAAACCAGUCAUUGAAUCAAGACUUAUUGGACCAAAGGUCCAUAUCUAUAAUUUGAUCCAAAUUUAUCAUGCAAGUCUAAAAAUUUCUUGAAAUCUAUAAUGUCUUAUAAAACUAUAUAUUUAGUAGGCCAAACAUAUAGACUUUAUAGGACUUGAAUGUUUUAUUUAACUUUAUUAGGACUUAUUCAAAUUAAAGAAACCAUAUUUUGCCUAACACAAAUAUAUUAAAAAACAAUUUGCAUAACAGUGAAUCGGCCAAGUAAAGAAAAACAUCAAAGCAAACAACCAUGGUUUGACUAUUAUGGGACUGACCGAAAGCACAACCAUAAGGAACCACACAAGAUAACUAUUUGGUUAUCGUGGGAUCCACUGAAUUCAAUAAUGCGAGUUGACCAAAGGUAUAAGGAUAACAUUGAAACAAGAAUGCACGCCAUCGGAAGUUAUCGCUAAAGUUUGCCACUGUGGAGCCCACUUGAAGGUCAUAACAAUAGUCCUUUGUCAAUAGUCUUUUGUUUUCAUGGUCCAGGAUUCAUGUUGAAUCAAUAGAAUCAAAGUGGGACCAUCUAAUUUAAUGUUAACCAAACAAUGAAUCGUGCAAUUCAUGAAUUACCUACUGUUAUGAAAACUUGAUUAUAACAUAUGCAAACAAUCAGGAUGCCGAAAACCCAAAAGCCGAAACACAAAGCAAUAAAUUGUGAACGAAAAAGUCAACAAUUAUAAUUUCAACAAGUAUCUCGUUGGCCAAUUCUUCACAAAUAUCAUACAUAAUUAUUCUUAAACACAAAAAUUACUAAAUCCAAAUUAUUUUCUAAUAAUUAACCAUAUGGGCUCUGAUACCACUUGUUAGGGCGGUUAUUUAUAUUUAACCCUUUGGUGAAAACCAUCACCUAUGUAACUCAAGAUCUUAUGACGAUUAUUAAGAAAUAAAUUAACGAUAAAAUUAUGAAAUUUUACCUGAAUUCAUAUCGACAAACUGAUAUAUGAAUCUCCAAGGGUAUUGGGGUGGUCUUCCAGAUCAACACGUAUUCGCCGAUUCUUGAGAGAACCCUUUAGUAUCUCUCUGGUAUCUUUCCUGACGAUGGGAUAUCAAGAAAGAGUUAUAUUUUGUGGUACUAAAAAAUACGACAAAUAGAAUGAUACGUGUGACUUGGGAACCAUAAUCUUAUUUAUAGGUAACAUUCCUGUUAUCUUUUGGAACCCUAUUUUAGCCCAUCAUUGAAAUAGGAGCCUUUAAAUCUCAUACAUUAAAAACCCACAUCGUAUUAGAUACAUUAAGUUCAAACCAUAUUUAAUCACUUUAAUUAGAUUUCACCUUAUUUGACAGUUUGCAACCCAUAAUGAUUCACAUAUAAACCAUAUUGGAUAUGAUUGCUCUUGUGAAGUGACACUUGCUAAUUUUUCAAUUCUACGACCAAGGUCUAUGAAAUAUACACACUUUAAGCUAUACAAGUCAUGAAUAUUACAACUUUUACUUGGCAAAUGAUGUUGCCAGAGUCCAAAUUUUAUAUCCACAGUAAUUUUGAUUAAAAUGACAAGAAGUACCUAGUCAAGUCCAACUUGCAUUUUGGCUUAAGAGCAAAUUUGAGCAUUUAAUACAAGAAUAACUAUGGAACAAAAUUUGAGCUAUAGCAUUAGCAGAACCAUUUGUAGAAGUUUUGCUAUAAAAAGGAAGACUAAUGCUAGCUUAAGCAUUUAAGUAGGAAGCAUGACAGAAAAGAAUAUGAGCUCUUCUCCAUCUUAUGCAAGGUUAGCCAGCUACAAUGAUGGAGAGGCAAGGGGCUUUCCUCGCAAAGGUUAUGUACCUGUGCUAGUGGGAGUUGACAAUGAAGAUAUGGAGAAGCUUUGCAUACCUGUAAAGCUCAUCAAACACCCUUGUCUUGUUUUUUUACUUGAUGAUUAUGUGUGAGAUUUUGGGCAUAAUCAGCAAGGAUUGCUGAGAGUGUCAUAUAAUGCUGACAAAUUCAAAGAAUUGCUGAAAAGUCUAUCAAAAAGGAACCAGCUUUGUUACACAUGUAUUAUGGGUUUUCUUUCUCAUAAGGGUAUUAGGGUAUGAAAUUUAUGUUUUUUGCAAGAAUUAUGGAGUUUUAAGCAGAUUAAUCUAUAUUCUUGUCUAAAGUAUUUCUGGUACAAACUUGAUGAAUGCCAGCAAAUAGAUGUUCUGAACCUAGUAUAGGGAAAGUAACAGGGGGAAUAUUUGAUGUAUAGCAGAUUGAAUUGUGUCUCCAUUUCAUUGAGCCUCAUUUGCUGAAGGAUACACAUUAAGGGAGCUAGUAAGUCAUUUUUUAUUCACUUCUUCAAUUGCAACUAUAUUCAUUUUCCAAAGAAAAAGGGAGAGUGAUUAAUCCAAAUCUAGAACUAGGAGAUACAAAGUAAUUUUUCAAUUGUGGAGUCGAGUUUGGGCAAAUCACUGUAAUGAGAGUUGGAAAGGAAAAGAGAGAGAGAAGAAGAAACUGAGAUUUUAUUCCAAAUGCCAAAAGUCCCCUUCUCCUCCGGAUCCUCAUGCUUAUAUACAACUCAGAUAAUAUCUAGCUGCAUGCAAAUGAUGCCUUGGCUGCAUGCUGACUCAGCAAUAACAGACUAACAAACCAACUACAAGAAUAUUCUCUAUAACUAACUCAACGAACUGCAUGGAUUGCAUUUCAUUUUCUAAUGGCUGAGCUAGCUAGUCAUUACAUUUCUCCCCGCUUAACCAAAUCCUAGUCUAUAGCAUUGAAGGGGAAAAUUUGGGAACUGAGACCUGAUGACCGCUGCAUCUUCCCAAGUUGCAUCAUCCUGGCUCAGGUUUUCCCACAAGAUCAACACCUGCUCCGCAGCCUGACCUCUCCUCCUUUUAGUCCUCCUCUCCAGCACAGCUUGGGGUGCUACUCGAACCUCUCCUUGUUCAUUUAGUGUGGGUAAAGAAUACUGGAUUGGUUCCCCCUUAGUAGAGGGCUUCAGCCAGAGACGUGGAACACAGGGUGGAUGGCUGAACUUGAUGGCAGCUCUAGUUUGUAGGCCACUGGUCCUAUCUUCUGCAACACCUUGAAAGGUCCAUAAUACUUAGCAGACAGCUUUAGUUUCCUCCUCAGGGCCACAGUAGUCUGCCUAUAUGGUUGUAACUUGAGAUAGACUAAGUCUCCCACCUCAAAGCUUCUAUCAGACCUGAGCCUAUCAGCAUUCUGUUUCAUCCUAUUUUGUGCCUUCAGCAGAUUAUCCCUAAGCAUCAAAUUCCAGUUCACUCUUUCUGACAUCCAAUCAUCCACUACUGCUACCAACGAUGCGCAUGGGAUGAUGUUGAGUUGUGUAGGGCUAUAGCCAUAAAGAGCUUGAAAUGGAGACAUCUGCAAUGCAGUGUGGAAAUUGGUGUUAUACCACCACUCUACUGCUGCUAGUAAUCUUUUCCAUUUGCGAGGUUGUUCAGAGAACAUGUACCUUAGAUAUGUCUCUACACACCUAUUCACCAAUAGAGAAAUUCAACUGAGUCCCUAACCUUGAGAAUAGCUCCUGCCAAAAUAUGCUAGUAAAUGUCCUAUCUCUAUCUAACACAAUGCUAGAGGGUAAGCCAUGCAGUCUGAAUAUCUGAUCAAAGAACACUUGUGCUACACUCGUAGCAGUAUAAUGGCUUGUUAUAGGAAUGAAAUGUGCAAAUUCUGUGAACCUGUCAACCACUACAAACAAUGUAUCAUACCCCUCAGAUUUAGGGAGCCCUUCAAUGAAGUCCAUAGAUAUGUUCUGCCAAGCUUGUUCUGGUACGGGUAGGGGCUGCAACAGCCCAGGGGACUUACAAUUCUCUCCCUUAUUCCUCUUACAUAUGUCACAGCUCUGUACAAAGUCUUCUACCUCCUUUUUCAUGCCCGGCCAAAAAGAAAUAUGCCUUAACUCUCUUGUAGGUACCCAGAUUUCCUAAGUGUCCUCUAACUGCUGACAUGUGCAUGCAAGCAAUGAGUUGUUGCCUAAGUGAAGUAGAGGCUCCUACAUACACCCUCUCCUUGUACCUGAUGACCCCACCAUUGUAGGAAUAUUCAGGCAUUUCUGUGCCAUUGAUGGCUAACGCAGUGAGCAACUCCUUAGCUUGAGGAUCCUGCUCAUAGCUUUCAGCUAAGUCAGUGAUCCAUGUUGGCUUUACCAUGAAAAUGGCACUGAGCUCGUGAGUGUCCUUCCCCCUCCGAAAGAGUGCAUCUGCCACUAUAUUCUCUCUUCCCCUCUUAAACUGAAUUUCAUAAUCAUAUCCCAUCAGUUUAGUCAACCAUUUCUGCUGCAGUGGAGUCCAAAUCUUCUACUCCAGUAAGUAUUUUGGGCUGUGAUGAUCAGUCCUAAUGAUGAAAUGAGACCCCAAUAAGUAAUGCCUCCAUUUGUUAACAGCAGCAGUCAAGGCUAGUAACUCCUUUUCAUAGAUAGAUAAAGCCUGAUUUUUUGCACCUAAUGCCUAACUCAUAUAAGCAAGGGCUAUCCUUGCUACAUAAUGACAGCCCCAAUAGCUUGAUUGCUGGCAUCUGUCUCCAACACAAAAGGUUUUGAGAAGUCUGGCAAUGCUAGUACAGGUGUGUUACUCAUAGCCUGUUUGAGUUCACGAAAUGUAGCACUAGCAUCCUUAUUUCAAACAAAACCAUCCUUCUUUAAAAGAUUAGUGAGGGGCUUGACUAUGGAUCCAUAGUUCUUGACAAACCUUUUGUAAUAUCCAAUCAAGCCCAAGAACCCCCUUAAGGCCUUGACGUCAGUCGGUUCUGGCCAAUUCACCAUACACUCUACUUUGGAAGGAUCAGCACUCACUCUUUCAUUAGUAACCACAUGCCCCAAAUAUUCUAUCUGAUUUUGUCCAAAAGAACAUUUAGUGAGCUUAGCAAAAAGGGUAUGGGAUCUUAAGGUCUUCAAAACCUGUCUAAGGUGGAGGAUAUGAGAGUCCAUAUCCAGACUAUAUACCAGAAUAUCGUCAAAGAAGACUAAGACAAAUUUUUUGAGGAAAGGUUCAAAUACUGAGUUCAUGAGAGCCUGAAAUGUAGUUGGAGCAUUGGUAAGCCCAAAAGGCAUGAAUAAAAAUUCAUAGAGCUCACAAUGAGUUAUGAAAGCUGUCGUAGGAAUGUCCAAAGGGUUCAUGCAAAUCUGGUGGUAACCAGAUCUCAGAUCAAGUUUGGAAAAGAGUUUAGCUCCAUGAAGUUCAUCUAGAACAUCAUCUAUAAUGGGAAUUGAAAAUUUAUCUUUAAUGGUUAGGGAGUUAAGUUACCUGUAGUCUAUGCAAAAUCUCCAGCUACCAUCUUUCUUUUUAACCAGUAGGACAGGUGAAGCAAAGGAACUGUGACUAGGUUGGAUGAUGCCACUGUGCAGCAUCUCCUUGACUUGUUUUUCUAUCUCAGUUUUCUGGACAUGGGAAUAUUUAUAAGGGGCUAAUUUGAAUGGUUUUGCAUCAACUUUCAAGGGAAUUUGAUGGUCAAAUGAUCUCGUUAGGGGUAAUUGUUUAGGCUCACUGAACACAUCCUGGAACUCAAUCAACAAAGGUUCUAGAAUAUUUGGAGUGGUGUUUACCUGUCACUGAGCUGUACUGAUCGUGCAGGCCUGCACAGCUUGCUUGAGUUUCUUCCUCGUGUAUCUUUUGGCCACCUCUCCUUUAGUCAUCCUGGUGUUAGCAGUACCUUUAUCCCCUCGCAGUGUUACCCUGUCAUCAUCCUUACUAAAAGAGACCUGCAGUUCCUUAAAAUCAAAUGUUAGAGGGCUAUAGGCUUUCAUCCAGUCCACCCCUAUGAUCAAAUCAGGGCUCUAAAUCCAAUAGGUACACACCGUGGCAAAAUUUCUGUCCUUGCAUGCUCCAUUGGAAAUUGGGUAUCCACUGACUGCAACAAAGUUCCUGACCAUCAGCAAUUCUGACUUUGAAAGUUUGUGUUGCCUAAUAAGCUCCUGCCACCUCUGUGCAACUGACUUCUUAAGGAAACAAUUAGAACUGCCUCCAUCUAAUAGGAUAGAAAUUUCAGAGUCUCUAACCUUCCCUAACAACUUAAUGGUGCUAGAGAGCAGAUUCCCUGUGAGUGAGUGUAAGGAUAAUUCUACCUCAUGUUUGUUCCCACUGCCUAUGUAUUCUAUCACCUCUUCCUCAUCUACCCUGUCCUUUAGAUCAGUAGCAAUAAUCAUGUGUACCUCCCUGUCCUUACACAUAUGACCUGACCCAAACUUUGCUCCACAUUUAAAGUACAAAUUGUUGUCCUUCCUAUAUUGAAACUCAGCAGGGGUGAUUCUCUUGUAUGGUUGAGUCCUAUUACCUUGCUUCCCAGAAUCUCCCUCACUGACUGUUGCUGCCUUGACCAUAGGUGGUCUGUGUGUAGACAUUCCUCCACUGGAACUCAUUUGUGUAGGAGGGAAGAGCCUGCUAGAUGUCUUGCUCUUCUUGAAAAUCACCUCCAGUGCCUUUUCCUGCCAUCUUGCAACCUCAAAGGCUUCUUGUAGGGUCUGAGGUUUGUGCAUUUUGACUAGUGCCUUGAGCUCCUCCUGCAAUCCACUCAAAUAGCUGGAAACAAAAUAACUCACACUCAACCCCGGAUUCUUGAGCAGUACUAUGGCUCUCAACUCCUCAAACUUCUCCUGAUACGCCAUUACUGUGGAAGAUUGCUGUAGUUUGUUGAAUUCCUCGACUCCAUCCUUAUCCCUUAGGUCCCCAAAUCUGCGACUCACUCCCCCCUUGAACUCUUCCCAUCCAAAUGUCUUCUUAUCUUGUUUGAAACUUUGGAACCAGACAUUUGCCCUCCCUUCCAAGUGCAUUUCUGCAAUCAGCAUCUUCUGCGAAUCCAAUAUGCCAUACAGAUGGAAGAAAGUCUUGCAUUUCUGAAUCUAACGCCUCACUUGCUCUCCUGCUGUAAGGAUCAAAGACAACCAAGUGAAAGAGAUAAGCAGUGUAAAUAUCACAAACGUAACAAUAAAUAAAUAAAAAGAAAAGAAUUGCAAACCAAUUAACUAUCCAACUCCUCUUGAGCUUGUAGAUUAAUUCAAAUAAGUUUCUUCAAAUUGAUGAAUUACAAUCACUCAUGCGUACAAAGGAAGGUUCACUUCCUCCUUGCCCCGAACACCACUCGGUCAAAUCAGGAAGUUUUACUAUCCCUCAAUACAACCCUCACAGAGCUACACUCAUGAAAUAUUCACUCCCAAAUUAAAAAUUUACAAUGAAUCUCACACCACUAAGACUACAAAUCUUCUUUGAAGAGUAUUUUCUCACUAAAAUCACUCUAGAUCUUUUGUAUUUUCAGUGUGCAAAAGUUGUUUAAAAUAUCUGACCACCCACUAUAUAUAUAGGAUCAAGAAAGUGCCUCAUUAAUGUUUUCAACGGAUAGAAAGUAGAUGAAGAGUUAACUAGCCGUUGGAGUGUCGGACGUCCGAUAGUCCUGUUUUUUGCGUCCGACAGUAGGCAGUGAGUUUAAGAGAUUUUCUUCAAUUCUUUCGAAUGUCCAAUGCAAGCUCUUUGUGCGUCAAACAGCAAACAAAGAGAUUUGAGAAAUCAUCUUGUUUCUAUCGGACGUCCAGUGGAGACAUAUUCAGCGUCCGAUGGUUUCGUCGAUUUUGAAGGAUCCUAUCGGACGUCCGAUACUAGCGUCCGAUCGAGGUCAGUGAUCCAGGGGAAAAGUCUUAUUUCCUUCGGGGUGGAGUUCUUCAUGCGUCCGAAAUUACGCAAUGAUUAUCGGACGUUCGAUCCAAGCAUUCGACAGCUUUCAGCAAUCUUUGUCCCUUUCAAUUGCACUUGAUCUUUGAAUCUGAUUUACUUUACAACUGAAAAUAUUUUUUGAAGAGAUAUUAGUAUUAUCCAUUGUUUUGUAAAUAUCAAAAGUUAGGGACCAAGGUCAACAUUCUCCCCCUUUUUGAUAAUGACAAAAUAAUAGAUGGAAGAAGAAAAAAGAUUGAGCAUAUGAGUAUAAGCUCCCCCUUACUCAUUGCAUCCAAAUUUAUAAUUUCAGAAUAACUUCUCCUAACACAUAGCAUCCAUUUCUCCCCCUUUUUGUCAUCAUAAGAUGAGAGUAAAAAUCAUCUAUCAAAAUUCAGCAACAAUAACAGAGAAUCCAAUAUUCCAAAUAAAAACAAAGAAAUAAUAGCAAUUACCAACAUACCAUAGCAAAUCAUCAUGAGAUCAGCAUUAUUCUUUUUUUCUCCCUUUUUGUUAACAUACAAAUUCAGUCAAAAAUCAAGAAAAACUCAUAUCAAAGCAUCAAAACAUCAAAAGAGAAUUACAAAAAAAAUAUUAUGAACAAGAAUCUCAUCAAUCUUACCAAUAUCUGCUACUUGUUAGAAUUAGUAUCAUGUCUAACUAUCCACAUGCAUUUCAUGCCUUUUUUCAUAUUUUUUCUCACAUAGCAAUCACUUUUCAUGUGACCUUUUUGACAACAGAAAUUACAUAUAAUCAAAGAGUUAUUUAUAUGAAUAGGUUUAAUAAAUCUUACUUAUCUUCUCUUAUAAAUAGAAAAUUCGUUGGAAUUAGAAUUCAAUCUAUUCUUUUGAAAACAAACUUGUUUCUUGUGUUUAAGCAACUCAUUUAAACCAUUCAUUUUUCUUUUCAAAUCACCUUGUUCCUUUUUGAACAAUUCACAAAUCUUUGUUUUUCUAUCAAGUUCCAUGUGUAAAGCAGUCUCACUAUUUUUGAAGUAAUCAUUUUCAGCUUUCAACUUUUUAUUUUGUUGAAAAAGAUUUGUGUUGUCUUGAAAAAGAAAACUAAUUUUAUGUUUUAAUUCCUUGUUUCUAGCAUAAUAUUCUUUCAAACUAUCAUGCAAUUUUAUAAUGAAAGAUUCAAAAUCAUCAUCAGUUUCAUCAUCACUUUCAAAUUGAGAGUUAGAAGAUGUUAUCUCAUCAUCUCCAAUGGCCAUGAAAACCAAUUGAGCAGAUUCUUCUUCCACUUCAAUUUCACCAUCGGAGUUGCAUUCAUUCCAUGUGAACUGAAAAUUGUUGAAUCGUGAUUUUCUUUCACCUUUUCUCUUUUUCAUUGGACACUCACUUGCAUAGUAUCCAGAUUGGGCGCAUUCAAAGCACUUAUCAAUUUGCUUUAUAUUGAACUCUGACUUUUCUUUGUUUCUUAAGUUGUUGAACUGAUUUGAAAAGGAGUUGGUAGGUCCACCUUUUCUGAAUCUUCUCUUAUUGAGUAUUCUUUUAAAAUCUCGUGUGAUGAAUACAAUAUCACUGUCAUCACCUUCCAUGUCAUCUCCAUCCAGGGAGGCUGCAUCAUCUUCAUCUUGUGAGGCCUUCAGAGUAAUACUCUUUCUCAUCUUUGUGUCUUCUUCUUCCCGUACCUUGGACUUGAAUUUUAGCUCAUAAGAAAUCAGUCAAUUAAUAAGAGAUUCGAUGGAUAAUGUAUUUAGAUUUUUGGCUUCCUCAAUGACAGUCACUUUACUCUCACAAUCCUUCGAUAAGGCAUUCAAAAUUUUUCUAUUUUUCUCACCUAGAGAGUAUUCCUUUUCCAACACCUCUAAAUCCUUAAUGAGGUCGUUGAAUUUACAGUACAUCUCAUCAAUAUUUUCAUGAGGUUCCAUCUUGAACGAUUCAUACUUGGUAAUCAUAAUAUAUUUCUUUUAUUCUCUUACAUUCUCACUUUUUUCAUGGAUUUCUCUAAAUUUGUCCCAAAUUUCUUUAGCAGACUUACACCCUUUGACCCUAAUGGAUUCAUUUGAAUCUAAAACACAAUAUAACGCAUUCAUGGCUUUUGCAUUUAAGGUGGAUGGAUUCUAUUCACAGCAGUCAGUUCAUUUCUAGUUUUUGGUUUAGAUCUAUGAGUAUUUUCAUCUAUAAGAGAGAUAUCAUAUGGACAUUCACUAAUAAUAAACCACAAUUCAAUAUCAAUUGAUUGCAAAAAAAUAAUCAUUCUUUCCUUCCAACUCACAUAAUUUGAACCAUUAAACAUAGGUGGUCUAAUGACAGAAUGUUCUUCAAAAAACAUGGCAUUGUUGGUUGUCAUUUUUACUCCUAACCCGAUUGAGCUUAAUCUCAGGGAGACCAAGCUCUGAUACCAAUUGUAAGGAUCAAAGACAACCAAGUGAAAGAGAUAAGCAGUGUAAAAAUCACAAACGUAACAAUAAAUAAAUAAAAAAAUUACAAACCAAUUAACUACCCAACUCCUCUUGAGCUUACAGAUUAAUUCAAAUAAGUUUCUUCAAAUUGAUGAAUUACAAUCACUCUUGCGUACAAAGGAAGGUUCACCUCCUCCUUACCCCGAACACCACUCGGUCAAGUCAGGAAGUUUUACUAUCCCUCAGGACAACCCUCACAGAGUUACACUCAUGAAAUAUUCACUCACAAAUGAAAAACUUAUAUUGAACCUCACACCACUAAAACUACAAAUCUUCUUUGAAGAGUAUUUUCUCACUAAAAUCACUCUAGAUCUUUUGUAUUUUCAGUGUGCAAAAGUUGUUUAAAAUAACUGACCAACUACUAUAUAUAUAGGAUCAAGAAAGUGUCUCAUUAAUAUUUUCAACGGAUAGAAAGUAGAUGAAGAGUCAACUAGCCGUUUGAGUGUCGGACGUCCGAUAGUCCUGUUUUUUGCUUCCGACGGCAGGCAGUGAAUUUAAGAGAUUUUCUUCAAUUCUUUCGGACGUCCGGUGCAAGCUCUUUGUGCGUCCGACAGCAAACAAAGAGAUUUGAGAAAUCAUAUUGUUUCUAUCGGACGUCCAGUGGAGACAUAUUCAGCGUCCGAUGGUUUCGUCGAUUUUGAAAGAUCCUAUCGGACGUCCGAUACUAGCGUCCGAUCGAGGUCAGUGAUCCAGGGGAAAAGUCUUAUUUCCUUCGGGGUGGAGUUCUUCAUGCGUCCGAAAUUACGCAAUGAUUAUCGGACGUCCGAUCCAAGCGUUCAACAGCUUUCAGCAACCUUUGUCCCUUUCAAUUGCACUUGAUCUUUGAAUCUGAUUUGCUUUACAACUGAAAAUAUUUUUUGAAGAGAUAUUAGUAUUAUCCAUUGUUUUGUAAAUAUCAAAAGUUAGGGACCAAGGUCAACAUUCUCCCCUUUGUGAUGAUGACAAAAUAAUAGAUGGAAGAAGGAAAAAGAUUGAGCAUAUGAGCAUAAGCUCCCCCUCACUCAUUGCAUCCAAAUUUAUAAUUUCAGAAUAACUUCUCCUAACACAUACCAUCCAUUUCUCCCCCUUUUUGUCAUCAUAAGAUGAGAGUAAAAAUCAUCCAUCAAAAUCCAGCAACAAUAACAGAGAAUCCAAUAUUCCAAAUAAAAAUAAAGAAAUAAUAGCAAUUACCAACAUACCACAGCAAAUCAUCAUGAGAUCAGCAUUAUUCUUUUUUUCUCCCUUUUUGUUAACAUACAAAUUCAGUCAAAAAUCAAGAAAAACUCAUAUCAAAGCAUCAAAACAUCAAAAGAGAAUUACAAAAAAAAUAUUAUGAACAAGAAUCUCAUCAAUCUUACCAAUAUCUGCUACUUGUUAGAAUUAGUAUCAUGUCUAACUAUCCACAUGCAUUUCAUGCCUUUUUUCAUAUUCUUUCUCACAUAGCAAUCACUUUUCAUGUGAUCUUUUUGACAACAGAAAUUACAUAUAAUCAAAGAGUUAUUUAUAUGAACAGGUUUAAUAAAUCUUACUUAUCUUCUCUUAUAAAUAGAAAAUUCGUUGGAAUUAGAAUUCAAUCUAUUCUUUUGAAAACAAACUUGUUUCUUGUGUUUAAGCAACUCAUUUAAACCAUUCAUUCUUUUUUUCAAAUCACCUUGUUCCUUUUUGAACAAUUCACAAAUCUUUGUUUUUCUAUCAAGCUCCAAGUGUAAAGCAGUCUCACUCUUUUUGAAGUAAUCAUUUUCAGCUUUCAACUUUUUAUUUUGUUGAAAAAGAUUUGUGUUGUCUUGAAAAAGAAAACUAAUUUUAUGUUUUAAUUCCUUGUUUCUAGCAUAAGAUUCUUUCAAACUAUCAUGCAAUUUUAUAACGAAAGAUUCAAAAUCAUCAUCAGUUUCAUCAUCACUUUCAAAUUGAGAGUUAGAAGAUGUUAUCUCAUCAUCUCCAAUGGCCAUGAAAACCAAUUGAGCAGAUUCUUCUUCCACUUCAAUUUCACCAUCGGAGUUGCAUUCAUUCCAUGUGAACUGAAAAUUGUUGAAUCGUGAUUUUCUUUCACCUUUUCUCUUUUUCAUUGGACACUCACUUGCAUAGUAUCCAGAUUGGACGCAUUCAAAGCACUUAUCAAUUUGUUUUAUAUUGAACUCUGACUUUCCUUUGUUUCUUAAGUUGUUGAACUGAUUUGAAAAGGAGUUGGUAGGUCCACCUUUUCUGAAUCUUCUCUUAUUGAGUAUUCUUUUGAAAUCUCGUGUGAUGAAUACAAUAUCACUGUCAUCACCUUCCAUGUCAUCUCCAUCCAGGGAGGCUGCAUCAUCUUCAUCUUGUGAGGCUUUCAGAGUAAUACUCUUUCUCAUCUUUGUGUUUUCUUCUUCCUAUACCUUGGACUUGAGUUUUAACUCAUAAGAAAUCAGUGAAUUAAUAAGAGAUUCGAUAGAUAAUGUAUUUAAAUCUUUGGCUUCCUCAAUGACAGUCACUUUACUCUCACAAUCCUUCGAUAAGACAUUCAAAAUUUUUCUAUUUUUCUCACCUAGAGAGUAUUCCUUUUCCAACACCUCUAAAUCCUUAAUGAGGUUGUUGAAUCUACAGUACAUCUCAUCAAUAUUUUCAUGAGGUUCCAUCUUGAACGAUUCAUACUUGGUAAUCAGAAUAGAUUUCUUUUGUUCUCUUACAUUCUCACUUUCUUCAUGAAUUUCUCUAAAUUUGUCCCAAAUUUCUUUAGCAGACUUACACCCUUUGACCCUAAUGGAUUCAUUUGAAUCUAAAACACAAUAUAACGCAUUCAUGGCUUUUGCAUUUAAGGUGGAUAGGUUCUAUUCACAGCAGUCAGUUCAUUUCUAGUUUUUGGUUUAGAUCUAUGAGUAUUUUUAUCUAUAAGAGAGACAUCAUAUGGACAUUCACUAAUAAUAAACCACAAUUCAAUAUCAAUUGAUUGCAAAAAAAUAAUCAUUCUUUCUUUCCAACUCACAUAAUUUGAACCAUUAAGCAUAGGUGGUCUAAUGACAGAAUGUCCUUCAAAAUAUAUGGCAUUAUUGGUUGUCAUUUUUACUCCUAACCCGAUUGAGCUUAAUCUCAGGGAGACCAAGCUCUGAUACCAAUUGUAAGGAUCAAAGACAACCAAGUGAAAGAGAUAAGCAGUGUAAAAAUCACAAACGUAACAAUAAAUAAAUAAAUAAAAUUACAAACCAAUUAACUACCCAACUCCUCUUGAGCUUACAGAUUAAUUCAAAUAAGUUUCUUCAAAUUGAUGAAUUAUAAUCACUCUUGCGUACAAAGGAAGGUUCACCUCCUCCUUACCCCGAACACCACUCGGUCAAGUCAGGAAGUUUUACUAUCCCUCAGGACAACCCUCACAGAGUUACACUCAUGAAAUAUUCACUCACAAAUGAAAAACUUAUAUUGAACCUCACACCACUAAAACUACAAAUCUUCUUUGAAGAGUAUUUUCUCACUAAAAUCACUCUAGAUCUUUUGUAUUUUCAGUGUGCAAAAGUUGUUUAAAAUAACUGACCAACUACUAUAUAUAUAGGAUCAAGAAAGUGUCUCAUUAAUAUUUUCAACGGAUAGAAAGUAGAUGAAGAGUCAACUAGCCGUUUGAGUGUCGGACGUCCGAUAGUCCUGUUUUUUGCUUCCGACGGCAGGCAGUGAAUUUAAGAGAUUUUCUUCAAUUCUUUCGGACGUCCGGUGCAAGCUCUUUGUGCGUCCGACAGCAAACAAAGAGAUUUGAGAAAUCAUAUUGUUUCUAUCGGACGUCCAGUGGAGACAUAUUCAGCGUCCGAUGGUUUCGUCGAUUUUGAAGGAUCCUAUCGGACGUCCGAUACUAGCGUCCGAUCGAGGUCAGUGAUCCAGGGGAAAAGUCUUAUUUCCUUCGGGGUGGAGUUCUUCAUGCGUCCGAAAUUACGCAAUGAUUAUCGGACGUCCGAUCCAAGCGUUCAACAGCUUUCAGCAACCUUUGUCCCUUUCAAUUGCACUUGAUCUUUGAAUCUGAUUUGCUUUACAACUGAAAAUAUUUUUUGAAGAGAUAUUAGUAUUAUCCAUUGUUUUGUAAAUAUCAAAAGUUAGGGACCAAGGUCAACAUUCUCCCCUUUGUGAUGAUGACAAAAUAAUAGAUGGAAGAAGGAAAAAGAUUGAGCAUAUGAGCAUAAGCUCCCCCUCACUCAUUGCAUCCAAAUUUAUAAUUUCAGAAUAACUUCUCCUAACACAUACCAUCCAUUUCUCCCCCUUUUUGUCAUCAUAAGAUGAGAGUAAAAAUCAUCCAUCAAAAUCCAGCAACAAUAACAGAGAAUCCAAUAUUCCAAAUAAAAAUAAAGAAAUAAUAGCAAUUACCAACAUACCACAGCAAAUCAUCAUGAGAUCAGCAUUAUUCUUUUUUUCUCCCUUUUUGUUAACAUACAAAUUCAGUCAAAAAUCAAGAAAAACUCAUAUCAAAGCAUCAAAACAUCAAAAGAGAAUUACAAAAAAAAUAUUAUGAACAAGAAUCUCAUCAAUCUUACCAAUAUCUGCUACUUGUUAGAAUUAGUAUCAUGUCUAACUAUCCACAUGCAUUUCAUGCCUUUUUUCAUAUUCUUUCUCACAUAGCAAUCACUUUUCAUGUGAUCUUUUUGACAACAGAAAUUACAUAUAAUCAAAGAGUUAUUUAUAUGAACAGGUUUAAUAAAUCUUACUUAUCUUCUCUUAUAAAUAGAAAAUUCGUUGGAAUUAGAAUUCAAUCUAUUCUUUUGAAAACAAACUUGUUUCUUGUGUUUAAGCAACUCAUUUAAACCAUUCAUUCUUUUUUUCAAAUCACCUUGUUCCUUUUUGAACAAUUCACAAAUCUUUGUUUUUCUAUCAAGCUCCAAGUGUAAAGCAGUCUCACUCUUUUUGAAGUAAUCAUUUUCAGCUUUCAACUUUUUAUUUUGUUGAAAAAGAUUUGUAUUGUCUUGAAAAAGAAAACUAAUUUUAUGUUUUAAUUCCUUGUUUCUAGCAUAAGAUUCUUUCAAACUAUCAUGCAAUUUUAUAACGAAAGAUUCAAAAUCAUCAUCAGUUUCAUCAUCACUUUCAAAUUGAGAGUUAGAAGAUGUUAUCUCAUCAUCUCCAAUGGCCAUGAAAACCAAUUGAGCAGAUUCUUCUUCCACUUCAAUUUCACCAUCGGAGUUGCAUUCAUUCCAUGUGAACUGAAAAUUGUUGAAUCGUGAUUUUCUUUCACCUUUUCUCUUUUUCAUUGGACACUCACUUGCAUAGUAUCCAGAUUGGGCGCAUUCAAAGCACUUAUCAAUUUGCUUUAUAUUGAACUCUGACUUUUCUUUGUUUCUUAAGUUGUUGAACUGAUUUGAAAAGGAGUUGGUAGGUCCACCUUUUCUGAAUCUUCUCUUAUUGAGUAUUCUUUUAAAAUCUCGUGUGAUGAAUACAAUAUCACUGUCAUCACCUUCCAUGUCAUCUCCAUCCAGGGAGGCUGCAUCAUCUUCAUCUUGUGAGGCCUUCAGAGUAAUACUCUUUCUCAUCUUUGUGUCUUCUUCUUCCCGUACCUUGGACUUGAAUUUUAGCUCAUAAGAAAUCAGUCAAUUAAUAAGAGAUUCGAUGGAUAAUGUAUUUAGAUUUUUGGCUUCCUCAAUGACAGUCACUUUACUCUCACAAUCCUUCGAUAAGGCAUUCAAAAUUUUUCUAUUUUUCUCACCUAGAGAGUAUUCCUUUUCCAACACCUCUAAAUCCUUAAUGAGGUCGUUGAAUUUACAGUACAUCUCAUCAAUAUUUUCAUGAGGUUCCAUCUUGAACGAUUCAUACUUGGUAAUCAUAAUAGAUUUCUUUUAUUCUCUUACAUUCUCACUUUUUUCAUGGAUUUCUCUAAAUUUGUCCCAAAUUUCUUUAGCAGACUUACACCCUUUGACCCUAAUGGAUUCAUUUGAAUCUAAAACACAAUAUAACGCAUUCAUGGCUUUUGCAUUUAAGGUGGAUGGAUUCUAUUCACAGCAGUCAGUUCAUUUCUAGUUUUUGGUUUAGAUCUAUGAGUAUUUUCAUCUAUAAGAGAGAUAUCAUAUGGACAUUCACUAAUAAUAAACCACAAUUCAAUAUCAAUUGAUUGCAAAAAAAUAAUCAUUCUUUCCUUCCAACUCACAUAAUUUGAACCAUUAAACAUAGGUGGUCUAAUGACAGAAUGUUCUUCAAAAAACAUGGCAUUGUUGGUUGUCAUUUUUACUCCUAACCCGAUUGAGCUUAAUCUCAGGGAGACCAAGCUCUGAUACCAAUUGUAAGGAUCAAAGACAACCAAGUGAAAGAGAUAAGCAGUGUAAAAAUCACAAACGUAACAAUAAAUAAAUAAAAAAAUUACAAACCAAUUAACUACCCAACUCCUCUUGAGCUUACAGAUUAAUUCAAAUAAGUUUCUUCAAAUUGAUGAAUUACAAUCACUCUUGCGUACAAAGGAAGGUUCACCUCCUCCUUACCCCGAACACCACUCGGUCAAGUCAGGAAGUUUUACUAUCCCUCAGGACAACCCUCACAGAGUUACACUCAUGAAAUAUUCACUCACAAAUGAAAAACUUAUAUUGAACCUCACACCACUAAAACUACAAAUCUUCUUUGAAGAGUAUUUUCUCACUAAAAUCACUCUAGAUCUUUUGUAUUUUCAGUGUGCAAAAGUUGUUUAAAAUAACUGACCAACUACUAUAUAUAUAGGAUCAAGAAAGUGUCUCAUUAAUAUUUUCAACGGAUAGAAAGUAGAUGAAGAGUCAACUAGCCGUUUGAGUGUCGGACGUCCGAUAGUCCUGUUUUUUGCUUCCGACGGCAGGCAGUGAAUUUAAGAGAUUUUCUUCAAUUCUUUCGGACGUCCGGUGCAAGCUCUUUGUGCGUCCGACAGCAAACAAAGAGAUUUGAGAAAUCAUAUUGUUUCUAUCGGACGUCCAGUGGAGACAUAUUCAGCGUCCGAUGGUUUCGUCGAUUUUGAAGGAUCCUAUCGGACGUCCGAUACUAGCGUCCGAUCGAGGUCAGUGAUCCAGGGGAAAAGUCUUAUUUCCUUCGGGGUGGAGUUCUUCAUGCGUCCGAAAUUACGCAAUGAUUAUCGGACGUCCGAUCCAAGCGUUCAACAGCUUUCAGCAACCUUUGUCCCUUUCAAUUGCACUUGAUCUUUGAAUCUGAUUUGCUUUACAACUGAAAAUAUUUUUUGAAGAGAUAUUAGUAUUAUCCAUUGUUUUGUAAAUAUCAAAAGUUAGGGACCAAGGUCAACAUUCUCCCCUUUGUGAUGAUGACAAAAUAAUAGAUGGAAGAAGGAAAAAGAUUGAGCAUAUGAGCAUAAGCUCCCCCUCACUCAUUGCAUCCAAAUUUAUAAUUUCAGAAUAACUUCUCCUAACACAUACCAUCCAUUUCUCCCCCUUUUUGUCAUCAUAAGAUGAGAGUAAAAAUCAUCCAUCAAAAUCCAGCAACAAUAACAGAGAAUCCAAUAUUCCAAAUAAAAAUAAAGAAAUAAUAGCAAUUACCAACAUACCACAGCAAAUCAUCAUGAGAUCAGCAUUAUUCUUUUUUUCUCCCUUUUUGUUAACAUACAAAUUCAGUCAAAAAUCAAGAAAAACUCAUAUCAAAGCAUCAAAACAUCAAAAGAGAAUUACAAAAAAAAUAUUAUGAACAAGAAUCUCAUCAAUCUUACCAAUAUCUGCUACUUGUUAGAAUUAGUAUCAUGUCUAACUAUCCACAUGCAUUUCAUGCCUUUUUUCAUAUUCUUUCUCACAUAGCAAUCACUUUUCAUGUGAUCUUUUUGACAACAGAAAUUACAUAUAAUCAAAGAGUUAUUUAUAUGAACAGGUUUAAUAAAUCUUACUUAUCUUCUCUUAUAAAUAGAAAAUUCGUUGGAAUUAGAAUUCAAUCUAUUCUUUUGAAAACAAACUUGUUUCUUGUGUUUAAGCAACUCAUUUAAACCAUUCAUUCUUUUUUUCAAAUCACCUUGUUCCUUUUUGAACAAUUCACAAAUCUUUGUUUUUCUAUCAAGCUCCAAGUGUAAAGCAGUCUCACUCUUUUUGAAGUAAUCAUUUUCAGCUUUCAACUUUUUAUUUUGUUGAAAAAGAUUUGUGUUGUCUUGAAAAAGAAAACUAAUUUUAUGUUUUAAUUCCUUGUUUCUAGCAUAAGAUUCUUUCAAACUAUCAUGCAAUUUUAUAACGAAAGAUUCAAAAUCAUCAUCAGUUUCAUCAUCACUUUCAAAUUGAGAGUUAGAAGAUGUUAUCUCAUCAUCUCCAAUGGCCAUGAAAACCAAUUGAGCAGAUUUUUCUUCCUCUUCAAUUUCACCAUCGGAGUUGCAUUCAUUCCAUGUGAACUGAAAAUUGUUGAAUCUUGAUUUUCUUUCACAUUUUCUCUUCUUCAUUGGACACUCACUUGCAUAGUGUCCAGAUUGGACGCAUUCAAAGCACUUAUCAAUUUGUUUUAUAUUGAACUCUGACUUUCCUUUGUUUCUUAAGUUGUUGAACUGAUUUGAAAAGGAGUUGGUAGGUCCACCUUUUCUGAAUCUUCUCUUAUUGAGUAUUCUUUUGAAAUCUCGUGUGAUGAAUACAAUAUCACUGUCAUCACCUUCCAUGUCAUCUCCAUCCAGGGAGGCUGCAUCAUCUUCAUCUUGUGAGGCUUUCAGAGUAAUACUCUUUCUCAUCUUUGUGUUUUCUUCUUCCUAUACCUUGGACUUGAGUUUUAACUCAUAAGAAAUCAGUGAAUUAAUAAGAGAUUCGAUAGAUAAUGUAUUUAAAUCUUUGGCUUCCUCAAUGACAGUCACUUUACUCUCACAAUCCUUCGAUAAGACAUUCAAAAUUUUUCUAUUUUUCUCACCUAGAGAGUAUUCCUUUUCCAACACCUCUAAAUCCUUAAUGAGGUUGUUGAAUCUACAGUACAUCUCAUCAAUAUUUUCAUGAGGUUCCAUCUUGAACGAUUCAUACUUGGUAAUCAGAAUAGAUUUCUUUUGUUCUCUUACAUUCUCACUUUCUUCAUGAAUUUCUCUAAAUUUGUCCCAAAUUUCUUUAGCAGACUUACACCCUUUGACCCUAAUGGAUUCAUUUGAAUCUAAAACACAAUAUAACGCAUUCAUGGCUUUUGCAUUUAAGGUGGAUAGGUUCUAUUCACAGCAGUCAGUUCAUUUCUAGUUUUUGGUUUAGAUCUAUGAGUAUUUUUAUCUAUAAGAGAGACAUCAUAUGGACAUUCACUAAUAAUAAACCACAAUUCAAUAUCAAUUGAUUGCAAAAAAAUAAUCAUUCUUUCUUUCCAACUCACAUAAUUUGAACCAUUAAGCAUAGGUGGUCUAAUGACAGAAUGUCCUUCAAAAUAUAUGGCAUUAUUGGUUGUCAUUUUUACUCCUAACCCGAUUGAGCUUAAUCUCAGGGAGACCAAGCUCUGAUACCAAUUGUAAGGAUCAAAGACAACCAAGUGAAAGAGAUAAGCAGUGUAAAAAUCACAAACGUAACAAUAAAUAAAUAAAUAAAAUUACAAACCAAUUAACUACCCAACUCCUCUUGAGCUUACAGAUUAAUUCAAAUAAGUUUCUUCAAAUUGAUGAAUUAUAAUCACUCUUGCGUACAAAGGAAGGUUCACCUCCUCCUUACCCCGAACACCACUCGGUCAAGUCAGGAAGUUUUACUAUCCCUCAGGACAACCCUCACAGAGUUACACUCAUGAAAUAUUCACUCACAAAUGAAAAACUUAUAUUGAACCUCACACCACUAAAACUACAAAUCUUCUUUGAAGAGUAUUUUCUCACUAAAAUCACUCUAGAUCUUUUGUAUUUUCAGUGUGCAAAAGUUGUUUAAAAUAACUGACCAACCACUAUAUAUAUAGGAUCAAGAAAGUGUCUCAUUAAUAUUUUCAACGGAUAGAAAGUAGAUGAAGAGUUAACUAGCCGUUUGAGUGUCGGACGUCCGAUAGUCCUGUUUUUUGCUUCCGACGGCAGGCAGUGAAUUUAAGAGAUUUUCUUCAAUUCUUUCGGACGUCCGGUGCAAGCUCUUUGUGCGUCCGACAGCAAACAAAGAGAUUUGAGAAAUCAUCUUGUUUCUAUCGGACGUCCGGUGGAGACAUAUUAAGCGUCCAAUGGUUUGGUCGAUUUUGAAGGAUCCUAUUGGACGUCUGAUGCUAGCGUCCGAUCGAGGUCAGUGAUCUAGGGGGAAAGUCUUAUUUCCUUCGGACGUCCGGUGGUGGAGUUCUUCAUGCGUUCGAAGUUACGCAAUGAUUAUCGGACGCCCGAUCCAAGCGUCUGACAGCUUUCAGCAACCUUUGUCCCUUUCAAUUGCACUUGAUCUUUGAAUCUGAUUUGCUUUACAACUGAAAAUAUUUCUUGAAGAGAUAUUAGUAUUAUCCAUUGUUUUGUAAAUAUCAAAAGUUAUGGACCAAGGUCAACACCUGCGAACCUGAGGAACUCUAGCUUGGGUACCCUUGGGAUGAAGGCAUUUCGUUCUCCUCUUUCCUGAUGCACCUGCCCUUGCUUGGAGUUGCCUUGCAGGGAACUUGUAGGGGUGGCUAGGAGUCCCCUCUCUUGCUGUGGAUUCCUGCUACUCCUUCCAAUUUGCGUAGCAAUGCUGGCUAUGAGAGCCCUUAACUCCGUGGAGUUGGCCAGCAUCUUCUCCUCCAUGGAUUUCAGAGUCUCGCUAGUCGACUCCAUGAAUGUCUAUAACUUAGCUUCCUGCUUUCAGACCUGUUCCUCAAUUGUUUUGAGGCGUGUACCUUCGGCCAUGGCUGUGAAUCAAGCUCAUGAUUCCAAGGAUCGGAAGCUUUGAUGCCACUGUAAUAAGAGCUGGAAAGGAAAAAGAGAGAGAGAGAAGAAGACUUGAGAAAGAAGAAAUUGAGAUUUUAUUCCAAAUGCCAAAAGUCUCCUUCUCCUCUGGAUCCUCAUGCUUAUAUACAACUCAAAUAAUAUCUAGUUGCAUGCAAAUAAUGCCUUGGCUGCAUGCUGACUCAGCAAUAACUGACUAACUACAAGAAUAUUCCCUAUAUCUAGCUCAAUGGAUUGCAUGGAUUGCAUUUCAUUUUCUAAUGGCUGAGCUAGCUAGUCAUUACAAUCACCCUCCUUUUCCUAUAAAGAAAUAAUCAAGUAAGUUAUGAUAUUGCAAAGGGUUGAUUCCAAGCCGAUCCCCUCUCCCCGGGUCUCAAAAAUAUCAAUUCCACAAUUUGCUCAUUGAAGUUGAAUUGGAUCAAUAUGCUCUCUAUGAUAAUUGAUUUUUCCUAAUUAGAAUCCUCAUAACUUAAGCAACAUAUUGAUUGAAACUCUAAAUUUUAUGGACCAAAAAAUGCAAAGUAAAAUUUUUUUAACUAAUACUAAUUUGAUUUUGGCAAUAAGUUCUUGUGAUUUUACAUCAAUGUCCAAAAUUUGCAAAUGAAGACUAAAUUUAUUUUGAUCAAAACAUUAUGGAUGUGUGUUGGCACAUAAGCCAAACAUUGGGCAUUAUAACUGCAUUUCUUUCAUGCGAAAAAAGAAGUUCAUAAUGUGCUAGCAGAAAAAUCCUUUAAAAUGGUAGGGUUGCAAAUAAAUCGAGUUGAGUUGAAUUUUGAUUUAACUGAGUUGAGCCUUGAUUUAAUUUUUCCAAACUCGGUCUCAAUCUUGAACUCAACGAACUUUUAAUGUAAAACUCGAGUUCAAGUUUGACCUCAAUUUUGCACCUAAUCAAACUCAAACUCGAGCCUACUCGAGCUUAAAAAAUUUUUAAAUUAUUAUUUUAUUUUAAAAAAUGAAUAAAAGUCAUUAAUAAAUCAUAAAAAUAUUAGAGAUAUAUAUAUAAUUUCACUACUAAAAUAAAAAUAAUACGCAUAUAUAUGCAAAUUUAUGUGUCUAAAUAUAUAUGUGUGUGUGUGUGUGUGUGUGUCUGUGUGUAUAUGUAUAUGCGUAUGUAUGUAUAUAUGUAUGUAUGUAUAUUCCAGCAAUCUCACAAACUAAUUAACUAAGUUUCUCUAUACUUAACUCGUGUUUAAUAUUGACCAAGCUCGAGUCAAGAUUAAGCAAUUUGAUUUGUUUGCAAUCCUAAUCUUCUCUUCCAUUCCCUUCCCUUCCCUUUGUAGACACCAAAUCUUUGCUAAUUUCCAAAAUUUCCUUGAGCUUUUUACUUAUUUAUUAGUGGUUUAUUUUUAUACAUUCUUUUUCUUAUUUCUUUUAGGCUUUUCAAAAACAAGAAAAGGAGAAUAAAAAUUUAGGAAAAAGUAAGAAAUAAGAAAAUCAAAGGAAUAAUUAAGCCCAAGUUAAAAAUAGACAUAAGCUGAUAAAGUAAAGCUCAAAACCCAAGCCCAUUUCUUGUAAGCUAGGGAAAGAGAAAAGAUUGAGGAUAAGUUAAUAUUUUUAUUAAUAGAAUUAGAUUUUUCACUUUAUUUUUUCAUACCAAAUUUUCAGAAGGACCGACAUCAUGUUUGUUUUUUUUUUCUUUUCUUCGUUUUGGACUGGUAGUCCUGGAGGGCUACGUUUGGAUUCCUCAUUUUUUUAAAAAACUAGGAGGCUGUAAAUAGUGCCCAUUUCUAGUUAUAUAAGUGUAUUUCUCACAAAGAAACAUAUAAGUGUGAAAGGCUGUAAACCGUAGGACGAUGUAAGUGCAAAGUGCAUAUUACAAAGAAGAUGUAAGUGUGUUUAUCUAGAUGUAAGUAGUGUGUUUAUUACAACAGUAAUUCUGUUUAUUUAUCUAGAUCUAUUCAACAGCUAGUUAGUAUUAAAAUAUAAAAUGUAAGUGUGAAAAAAAACAAUAAAAAAGUAAUUUCAAAAGGCUCAAAAGCAUUUAUUUGGACCUUUAUAAACCAAAGGACGAAUUAGAUAUAAAUCCAAAGGUCAUGACAUAUAUUAAGUGCAAAUAACUAAUAAUAAAAAUAAUAAAUUUAACUAAUAUAUUAAGUGUAAACCUAUGUUCAUAUUAUAAAAUAAAGUAUGCAAAUAACAAAUAUACUAUGAAAAUUGGAGGUGAUGAAAACAAAUAGAAUAUGACGUAUUUCUUUGUCUUUCUUUGUCUUUGGAGCAGGUAAUAAAAAUCGGAGGUAAAACGUGCUUUAUCAUGAUCACCAAUAAAUAAAUAAAAAAAUUCCUUGCAAAGCAGAAUGACAUAAACUCUCAUAGGGUGCUUCUAUGGUGGAAACUGGAAGGUGAGAUGAACUUCCCACCGUGGGUAGAGCCACUACAAUCACAACAACUCAAUGUGGGAUCCUUGUCCAAGCCUUGCGGGUCCAACUAAGUUAAGGCAAUUGGCUGUAGUAAGUGAAUUAUGUAGUAGAAAAAUAAAAAAUAUGUGACUUUCUAAAGGACAACAAUAAUUGUAGAUAUAAAUUAGAUUCAAUUGAUAAAUUAAUCAUCAUCAAUUGUCGAACCAUACAACAUAAAUUAACCUUUUGUGAUCAUUAUCACUACCAUUAAUAUUUAUCUGUUAAUAGUAAUGGAUUUUUUUUUUGUUGAAACCUAUAGAGUGUUUUAUAACUAAAAAUAUAGAUAUAGGUUUAUAUUUUUUUAUUACUCUUUUCUCUCAAUUUUUUUCACUCUUUUAAUUUCUUCUAGUAUUUUUAAAAUUUUUAUUUUUAAUUAAAAAUAUCAAUUACAUUGGUGAGUAAAUAUUGAUUCCCUAUUAAAAUAAUGAUCAUCACAAAAUGAGCCAAUGAUAUCCAUCAACUCAUUCCAAUUAAGUAUUAACCUUAAUCAAAUGAUAAGUAUCACUAUGAAUAAUUUGAAACUCAUUCCUUGAGGAACCAACUUACCAAAUGCCUUCUAAGUACAUGAAACAAAUUGCACAAUUUGUGUAGAUAAAGUUAUUUUGUGAAAAUUCAUGAAAUAUGUGAUGCAAUCCCCAAACCAUGAUCAAUUGUAAGUAAAGAAAAAGAAAAGUCAAUGAAUGGUUGCCUAACUGAUUCUCAUGUUAGUACCUAAAUCUUUUUAAAAUCUAGUAAUAUUUCAUUAAUUGAAACUUGUCACAAUAAUCAAUAUUUCAUUAAUUGAAACUUGUCACAAUCAUCAUUUGAAUCACGGUACAAAUUUUCUUUGGUUCUUUUCUUUUUCUUUUUAUUCAGAUAAAAAUUUAUUUACUAAUGUAAUAUGUUUUAAUUUUUAGUACAAUGAAACAUUAUUACUCAUGUUUAAACAAUAUGGGGGGACUCAACUCCUACAUGUGCAUAUCCAAAAUUUUAAUUUUCAUCCAAUUUCUAAUAACAUUUUUGUUCAUAAUAAAAUUUACUACUCUCUUUAAUUACCAUAUAAUGUAAUCACAUCUAAAUUUCUAAUUCUUCCAUUUAUCUUUACAUUCCACUUAAUUAACUUAUCUUUCUACAAUACGUAUGAAUCAUUUUUUUCGUUUCAAGUACUUGUAGCACUAUAUUGGAAAAGUUCACCAUUUGCUUUAUUCCCGAUCCUCUUUUUCUUUCAUGUUUCUUUGAUGCCAUUCAUUUUUUUUUCAUUUUUGUUGGGGUCGAUGUGAGGACUCACAAAAGUUUAUUAUUUUAAAUUCCAUUUUGAGCUUAUUUAACCAUUUAAUUGCCCAUUUAUUCCGAAUAUUAUUUUCUAACUUCUUUAGACCUAAUUACAUGGAUUUAUAAUUUCGUUAUAUUUUUAAAGUGACUUGUUUCAAAAUUUAAUUUUUGGAAGCUCGUUAAGUGAAAAUAACGAAUACACGAUUAGAGUCAAUAAUCGAUUCGAGAAUACAAAAAGCUUGGAAAAUUAGAGGCUUGCACAAUGGUCUUGAAAUAGGUAUUUUUGUGCUUAAAUACUCAAGUGAUAGUUAUUAGUACUAACGUUAUAAGAAUUUCUUGAAGGUUUCACUUUAUCGCGCUUAAAUUGGAAUACGUGUUUUCAUACGCGCGAUUUAAUUGAGAAACUCUAGACCCUUAUUUUGGGACAAUUAAAAGUGAAUAAUAUUUAUAUGAAUAUAAGUGUAUUGGAGGUCUAGUGCACUAGUCAAAUAAACUCGAAAGAAAUCGAGCACAAAACGCGAUCAUGCGAGCGCGAAGGAGGGUUGACUUUUGGGCAACUUUGGACCACACACUAAAGCUUCCUUUGGAAGCUUCAUUUUAGAUCAGAAUUCCCUCUCUCCUAGCUCCAUUUUCAGUGUGCAACUCCAAGGAAAAGAACCAAGCUUGCUCCUUCAAUUUUCUUCUCCAUUUCCCUCACCAAACUUGCACCAUUUUGCACCAAAAUUUAACUACACUUAGUUUAUUGCUUGAAGAUCAUAUUAAACUACAAAAAAGGGAAGCUUUUUACGGUUUUCUUGGCCAAGGAGAGGACCGAAAAUUCGGUUCUUGCACACCAAGUGAAGUAGGUGACGAUCUAACCUUCAAAACUUGGUUUAUGGAAGUUCUAGUGCCCUUAUAUACUCAUGCAUGUUCAUGGGUAACUUGUUUAUGGUGAAAAAAUAGUUGUGUGGGCUCUAUGAACUCCCACCUUGGAUAUAUGAACUGGUUUGUGGUGUUUUGAUGGUAAUAAUAUUUAUUUAGUGCCUAAACUAGUGGAUUAAUGUUGGGUUGUUGAUGGAAACUCAAGGAUGGUGCAACAACCAAAAGUGACCAUUUUGCCCCUGCUUUGUUCUAGCACUUUGGUGCGAAAAUUUGAAAUUCUAAUGACUUUUUUAUGUUGUUUACAUGUUAUAUUGAGUGUGUAAAAAGUUUCAUUGAAAAAUAACUUGAUUUGGUCACCCAAAUGUUGGAAUUUCGGAAGCUUAGAAAUCUGGAAUUGGUUCCCGUCACUGCCCAGGCAGUCAUCUUGUUUUGGCUAUAACUCAUCGCUCCGAUGUCAUAAUUAAGUGCCGUUUGUGGCACUGGAAACUAGACAUUCCCAUCUUUCCGUUGGUAUAAAAUUCUUGUCCUGGUUCCACUCGAGCAAGCCAAACCAUUCGUUUGAAAUUAGCUGUCCUGUUUCAUUGCUUCCUGGAAGGCAGCACAUGAGCUGUAACUUGAUGCUCACGAACAAGCUAGUUAUGGACAUAUUUGGAAAACGGUUUCUUCUGAGAAAAUGUAGCCUUAUGAGUCUAUUUUCCAACGCCACCAACCAUGCUCAAUUCCAAGUUGAAUUGUGUGAUUUAUGAUCAAAAUUCAAAUCUGAUCUUGUGAAGGAAUACCAUGUAUUUGGACAGAUUUGAAACUAACAAUGAUUUGGGACUUGUUAUCCUAAGCUUCUUAGUGUAAAUCACCUAUCGAAUGUACCUUGGACAUAUCUUAGACUACCUACUGGAAUGGAACAUGUUUGAUAUGUUCCUUGACCAAAUGUUUGGAAACGGCAAAAUGGAAGUUCAAAGGCAGCUUAGCCUUAGAAUUUCUUGUGAUUUCAACGGUCUCGUUAACCGAUUUCCGUACAUAUUUUUCUAUAAAAUUUGGCAAAGGAGUGGCUCUUAUAUGAUAGUAUAUUCAUACCAAAUUUGGUGCCAUUCCGAGUCCAUUUCGAUACUCGAACAAAAUUCCAAAAUUGGUGCUUUAAACCUGGAAAUUUCAUAACUGCCUCAAAUGUCCAGCAACUUUGAGCUACUAUAGCUUAGUGCUCAAAACUCCGAUUCUUAUUCCGCUUAUUGUGUUUUAAACUUUGAUUGUAACUGUAAUUGAGUUUCAAAUUUGAGAGGCUAGCUCCAAUUCUGUGAAUUUUGCCGAAUUUCCAAAGUUGGCGAAAAACCAACCUCGAAACUGCCUCGAUAGUCCAAAACAGUGACUUUGGGCCAAAUUUUGAAUACCUUCCAUUUAGAAUCAUAGAAAAAUGUCUUCUAAAAACUUUUAGUACUUUGAAAGAUGUUUCCAACGGUACCAAGUUUUCCAAUUUUGGACUUGUAAAGAGUGAGAUACGAUUUUUCAAAGAUCUUAUAUCAAAACUGAAAUUUCCGAAUCUUAAGGAAAUGGAUUUCCUUCGAAUUUUCUCGUUUCCUUUGAUAUCACUUGAUCGUUUCACCCUCGAUUUCAAAGAGGGAAAUCAGAUUUCGCUUAUGUUUUAAAACCCAACUUUUGGGCCUUGAUUUACGAAUAAUUAAGGGUCAUUUUCGUGAAAUUUUCUGAAAUCGCACAAGUGUGCAAUCUUUCUUAAUAAUUGGGGUUUAUAAGUGAUUGUUCAUUAUUAAUUACUCAGUCUCGCACGAGAACCUUCAAGAGGACCCCGCAGUGGACACCUGAACUUCCAGUGAAACUUCUUCUUUUGUUUACUUGGUGAGUGUCAAGUGUGUGACUACUUGAACUCCUAUGAAUUUUGUACAUGCUUGUUUACUAUUGAGGACUUGAGAUUUUGGAAAAAUGAAAUCGAGUGUGUACUUAUAGCACUCGUUCUAAUUUGAAUUGAAUUACUCAUACUUGAAAUAUUUUAAUAUGCCAAAUGCUCAAAAGUUCAAAUGUUUGAAUGUAUCAAAUACUUGAAUUACAUGAAAUAAGUAUUCUAUGACUGCAUACGUCGUUGGAGUAAACCUCCUCGACACUCAAAUGUACAUGGGGGAUGCCCAAACUCAUAGGCCAACCUUGGGACUCGACCCGGCAAGGGCUUGGUCGGGAAUCUCGGUGAGCCAUGAGAAUCACAUGAUAAACUUGAUCUAUUGGAGAGAUUUUGCUUGGCAUACUCGUUGAGUAUCACCUUAUAAAUGUCGUGCGGGCCUGGUGUGGUAUGUACAGUGGACGGACCUGAGAAGUAAAUAGAGAUCUACGGAUUAGAAAUACCGACCCGGUUGAUGGAGAGUCAUCGCGGGAAGAUAUACGAAUGACAUUGACAAAGUAAGUGGAACUUAGCUCCUAAGAGCUACCAUAUUCUUGAAUUGUUUCUAGUUACAUUUCAUUGAAAUUGUUAACUACUCGCACUUUAUCAUUUGACCUGUUAUUUGGGUUUGUUACUUGGAUUAUGUGCUUGCAUGUGUGUUCUUGGGCUCACGAGCGUUUUGCUCACCCCGUAAAUUUGUUUUCCUUAACAGGAUUGGAUACGGAGUAAACUUGGAAAAAUCUCCUUUGGAUGUAUCUUGUAUUAGGGUUUCAAAUUUUGGCUUGACCCCUUUUGGUUGUACUUUUGGAAUUUUAAUGUAAUAUUUGGAUAUGUGAUGUAUAUUUUGGGAUUUAAGAUGUACUAUGGACACCCGAUGUGUGGGUUGCAAAAUGGAUGAUGUUAAGGUUGAACGCUUCCGCACUAAUUGCAUUUAUAUUAACUGGUUGUAACGUAUAGUAUCGCUAUAAGUUUGAACGUAAAUUGCUUGAGUCCUGGCGAAAGUUGGGCAGACGUCCCGCAGAUACCCUUUGAUUCGUCUUAGGGAGAAGUGGGGGCGUCACAGUCCAUAUAUCUGGAGAGUUUCCAAAAUAUCUCCAAUUAUUGGGCCAUUUUAUGAUGACCAAAUAUGUAAAAGGGCUUCCCCAUAAUAUCAGAAGUUUUUUUUUUUUUUUUUUUACCCAGUACAUGAAUUGCCUUCUUAUUGUUUGCUCCCACAAGCAACUGGCCUUUCCUGUUCAUAGCACAACACUAUUGGCCUUCUCAUAUUAGUUUUACCCACAGUGAGCAAUACUGUUCACCUUCCAUCGUAGCCAAGCCCAGCCCGUUCCAGAUGCCUUCUUUCCCCAACCGAAAGCAAACAACUCACGUGCAAAUAACAACCAAAAGAGAACGACGAAAGUGAGUCCCAAAGUUCCUUAACCACAUUGACUGUUAGACAAAUUUUUUAUAUAUAAUAUAAUGCUACAGUAACAUAUAAAUGAAAACAACUCCAAAAACAUUAUAUUUAUACAAUAUAUCAAAAAUAACUUCAAAUAUACAAAAAAUAAAAUUUAUAAAAUUUAUUUUUUCAAUCUAUCAAAAAAUAAAAAAAUAAAAACAACUCCAUUCAACAUAUGAAAAACAACUCUAAAUAUACGCAAAAAAUAAAAAAUAAAAUCUACACCAUUUAUUUCUUUCAUCUAUCGCCACCACCCACUACCACCACCAUCCCCUCCUUUUUCCUCUUUCCUCUCCCUCUUCCCUUCCCUUUCCUUCCUCUUUCCCGCCACACUCCACCCCUCCCCCUUCCUCCUCUUCCCCCCCCCCCCCUCCCACUUUCCCAAAUAUGGCCUUGACUAGAGGUUAUGAUCUAGCCACGAUAUCAUAACCAGAGACCUCAAUCUAGCCUCGGCCAAAUCGAGGGAGGGAGGGAAGGAAAGUGGUGAGAUGCGACGAUCAAAGGGAGGAGAAGGAGAAGGGAGAAGGGGAGGAAAGAAAGGGAAGAGGAAAAAGAUAGAGGAGACGGAAAAAAAGGGAAAGAAAGAGAGGGAGGAGGAAGAAGGAGGGACAGAAGGGCAGAGGACUAGAAAAGAUAGGAGAGGUGGACGGAGAAAGUGAUGGUGAUAAUUUUUAAAAAAUAUUACAAAAAAUAUUUCAAAAUAUAUCUAAUAAACAACUCCAAAAAUAUCUAGAAAAACAUCUACACUAGAAACUAGAAAAUUUUUCAUAUAGAAUAUUACAAUAAAAUAUUUUUUAAAAAAAAAAGAGCUAAUCCAAAGUUACAAUCUUCUAAAAUCACAAUCAUCGUUCUUCUCCUAAAAAGCCAAGAAUCAAAAAAGACACAGCCUACCGCCUCUCAAUGAUCAUCUUCAAAUCAUUAUUGCCUUUGAGCUCCUAAAAUUAUCGUCAGAAUCUUUCCAAUGCCUUAAUUAGGAUUCCAAGCCCCAUUAGAAACACAGAAAAGAAGAAAGAAGAAAGAAAAAACGAAAGGCAGAAAAGAGCAGAAGGAAACAAAGGAAUCAGCAGGGAGUUGCUGUUGCCGCCGCCACCACCGGAACUUUCCACCACCACCUGCAAAUCUUCACCGAGAGAGCACUGUAAGCUCUCCUUUCCUUUAAUUUCAGUUUUUCUUUAAGCUCAGAUUCUUGAAACUCUUAAAGCACAUUUCUCUUGAAUUUGUCCUUUAAAAUUUUUCAGUUAAUUAUGCACGAUUUUGUGAAUGUAC